RNAcentral lists this long non-coding RNA (59181 nucleotides) under Triticum aestivum (bread wheat). Its description in RNAcentral is "long non-coding RNA (TAES_LNC015108)". The record is from RNAcentral. Lineage: Eukaryota; Viridiplantae; Streptophyta; Magnoliopsida; Poales; Poaceae.
UUAUCCUCACUAUAUUCUUUUCUAUGGUAUUAUGCAGGAUGAAGAUGUAUGAAAUGAGAAAAGGUGGACGCUAUGGCAUUGGGUUCAUUGACCCAAACAACGUUAAUGAAUACACAUGGAAAAUAAACAAGCAUCAUGAAAAGUAGGUAGAGGACAGCAUGCUAGAGUUCUUGAAGCGCCUCAAAUACAAUGUAGAUAUACUACUUCCUUACAACUUCCAGUGAGUCACACUUUCUUGUACUACAAAUUCUCUGUUUUUGCCUACUAGCUAGCUACAUGUUUUUGCUUACAUAUGCCCACUUAAUUAAGACAUGCAAACGUGUGUGCAUGCAGAUUUCACUGGAUCUUGUGUAACAUUAAAGUUGACGCCAGAACAGUUGAAAUACUGGACUCACUACUCAAAGCAAAUAGUGACUAUAACAUCUUGUUUGGGAUAGUCAACAGGUAAUUUCAAUCAUUAUUAACUAUAUAUCUCGGCCUAUUUAGUUCGUCAUUUCAUGAUAUGAACUAUUUAAUAACCCCUUUAUUCAUUUUCUUUUUCAGCGGGCAAGGCUUGGGAAAGGUUCAUCAGCGUCAUGGAAGGCGAAUGGAAACGACAGCUGAAAUGGUUUCGACCCAAGGUAAGUAAUUAAGUAGUACUAGCUAGCUAGCUAGCUGCCAUCUCUUUAAUUAUCAUGCUUGAUUAAUUAUUAUCUGAUCAAAUUAAAUUCCAUUCUCGUAAUAAAGGCCCUGAAGCAGGCGCAGGGGACUGAUCUGUGUGCAUUCUGCGUUUGCGAGAACAUUCGCAUGAUGGCGUCCGAAAGGAGCAGAUAUCAAAGACAGGAAUGGGUACGCUUGUCAGAACACUAUUCACAAUUUUUACACCAUUAUCGAUAUCUAGUCACACAACUAAUAGACAUGCAUAUUGAUCUCCUUCUUAACAGUCACAGAGGUGCGGGACAAGCUCCUAGAAACGGAGCGCGUAGAAGCACUUCAAGAGAAAAUAGCGGGAUUUUUGCUCGACCAGGUCAUAAAUCCGAAGGAGAACACUAUUACCCGCUACCGCCCCCAUUGACCAGGUCAUGAACCACUUCCAAUUGUCAUCGUGCUCCGAAGGCACCAAUUAGGCUAAUACCACUGGCUCCGAAGGCAACAUGCAUAUGUAGGAGAAAUUGUAUAUAGCUAUACAUGUGUGUAUGUGUGAAUUAAUAUGGUGGUUUGUGAGACAUUGAUGAUAUAUAUAUGAUUGGUUCUACUAGAAAUUCUAUUUAUAUAUAUAUAUAUAUAUGCAUAACGUGUACAAUGUGUAUUAUCGUAAAAUACCAGCAAAUGACAAAGAAUUAAAAUGGAAAACACAAAAUUAAAUGAAAAAGAAAUCAUAAAACCAAAAACCCGCCAAACAUUUUAGUACCGGUUGGUGUUACCAACCGGUACUAAAGGGCUCCCGACCCCCGGAGCUGGCUCGUGCCACGCGGCUGCCCUUUAGCACCAGUUCGUGCUGAACCGGUACUAAAGGGGGGGGGGGCUUUAGUGCCCACACUUUAGUGUCGGUUAUGGAACCGGCACUAAAGGGCCUUACGAACUGGUGCUAUUGCCCGGUUCUACACUAGUGCAUGGACCAGAGGGGAAACCCUUCUCCCACCUAGGGAGGAGGUCAAGGAAGAAGAAGAAGGAGGGGGGAUCUCUCCCCCUCGCUUCCGGUGGCACUGGAGUGCCACCGGGGGCCAUCUUCAUCAUCGCGAUCUACACCAACACCUCCGCCAUCUCCACCAACAUCUCCAUCACCUUCCCCCCUCUAUCUACAGUGGUCCACUCUCCAGCAACCCGUUGUACCCCUCUACUUGAACAUGGUGCUUUAUGCUUCAUAUUAUUAUCCAAUGAUGUGUUGCCAUCGUAUGAUGUCUGAGUAGAUUUUCGUUGUCCUAUCAGUGGUUGAUGAAUUGCUAUGAUUGAUUUAAUUUGCUUGUGGUUAUGUUGUUGUCCUUUGGUGCCUAUCAUAUGAUUGUGCGCGUGGAUCACACCCUAGGGUUAGUUGUAUGUUUAUAGGACUAUGUAUUGGAGGGCAAGAGUGACAGAAGCUUCAACCUAGCAUAGAAAUUGAUGCAUAUGGGAUUGAAGGGGGACCAAUAUAUCUUAAUGCUAUGGUUGGGUUUUACCUUAAUGAACGUUAGUAGUUGAGGAUGCUUGCUAAUAGUUCCAAUCAUAAGUGCAUAGAAUUCCAAGUCAGGGAUGACAUGCUAGCAGUGGCCUCUCCCACAUAAUACUUGCUAUCGGUCUAGUAAAGUAGUCAAUUGCUUAGGGGCAAUUUCGCAACUCCUACCACCACUUUUCCACACUCUCUAUAUUUACUUUAUUGUUUCUUUACUUACAAACAGCCCCUACCUUUUAUUCACUUGCUCUUUAUUAUCUUGCAAACCUAUCUAACAACACCUACAAAGUACUUCUAGUUUCAUACUUGUUCUAGGUAAAGCGAACGUCAAGCGUGCGUAGAGUUGUAUUGGUGGCCGAUAGAACUUGAGGGAAUAUUUGUUCUACCUUUAGCUCCUCGUUGGGUUCGACACUCUUACAUAUCGAAAACUAUUGCGAUCCCCUAUACUUGUGGGUUAUCAGUGCGCCAUUAGUGAGAAAUUCAGAUGUUGUGGUGCUAGUUGCGCACCUGUAGUACGCCAUUAGUAGGCAAAACAGGUGCGCCACUAGUAGGCCUUUUCCUAGUAGUGACACAAACAUUUGUGAAUAUGUCAUGUCGUCCUAUUUUUCAUACAUAUUCCAUCAUGGUAUCAUGUGUUUGCCUUACAUCAAAGUAGUGAUUGUUAGUACCAUGCACGAAUGAGUUCUAAAGAGUGGAUUUUAUUGCUUUUUCUUAUCAGUUUUACUUGACAAUUCAAUAUCAAUAAAGCGGAAGGAAAGUAGCAAGGCAACGGAUAUAGGUGCUCCUUCCAAAUGGAGGGCCUCUACAGAUUCUACUCCGCCACCCCCCUAAGAAGAUUUGCAAGACAACACAUGCAUAGACACUCAACGUAGUUGUGUAUAUGAUGAGCACGUCUUCCCUAGUGCACCAUCACAGGUUCUCCCUCUAACUUGGCACUGUUAUAUGUGGUUGCAUGUUAUGUAUGAUGUCUAGCUUGUAUUGCUUCUAAUUUUGUUGAAUUCCAUCUUCUUACUUUACACAUUAUAUUGUGAAUAAGACACGUGUUCCUGUUUCUAGAACAUAAAGUAUAUGUCUAUCACACCAUGUUAUUACAUCAAAGUACUACUAUUGUGUAACUUGCAACAAUCACUUAUCAUAAGACACAUUUGACUUGGGAGUGUGAUAUAGGUUACAUCUUGCAUUCUUUUCUAGAUUGUACUACUUCUAAUUUGUUGAAAUGGCACUUAUGACGAGACAGUUUUAACUUGGUAGAGUGAUAUUCGUUGCAUCUUUCAUAUGGUGUCUAGAUUUCAUUGCUUAUAAUUUGUUGAAAUGUCUUCUCCUUAGUUUACUCAUCAUAAGCUGUGAAUAUGCAAUAGAAUUAAUGACGAGAGACCUUUAACUUGGUAGUGUGAUGUUGUUUGCAUCUUGCAUAUGAUUUAUUUCUUGUACUGCCUCACAUUUGUUUAAACACCAGUUACGACGAGACACUAUUAACUUGGUAGGGCAAUAUUUGUAGCAUCUUUCUUAUGGUGUCUACCUUCCAUUGCAUUGCUUCUAAUUUAGUGAAAGUCUUCUCCUUAGUUUACACAUCAUAGUUCUAGUUAUCUCAUGUCGUCCUGUUUUUCGUACAUAUUACAUCCUCCUAUCAUGUGGUUGUCUAACAUCAAAGUUCAGUUCGUCUGUAUCACACAUAAAUUUGUUCUGAAGAACUAAAUUGUUAUUCGUUUUUCUUGUUGGCUUGACUUAACAUGGCAUAGAGAAAGAGGAAGGAACACAGAAUGACAAGGAAAAGGAAGCGGAAGAAUCCUGCAGAUUCUGCUGGUAUUGAUGGUGCAAUAGAAGGUCAAAGUACAACGGAAAAUUAUACAAACAAGGUAUCCCGUGCUACACGAGCUGUAGAACAAGCCAAACAGAAACCAAUAGCUGCCACCAAACAAGUAGAGACAGCCCUAGUUGUUGCAGGACCUUCCACAGUACCACCAACUACACGAGUUACUUGUUGCUCAACUCAGCUAGCAGGAUGUUCCCAAGCUCCCUUGCCACCUGACACUACUUCUGAAGAACUCUUGACACAAGACGAGUUGGCAAGAUCAGAUGAACUUUGUGAGCUUCAACAGCAAGAAGGUAGUUGCUCGAGUCAAGUUACAGUUGCAUGCUUCUUUAUAUGUAGUCUCAAAGUUUGAUGUACACUAACACUUCCUAUGUUCGUUGUUGGACUAGCACCUAGGCGCAAGAGGAAACAAACAUCAAGGACAAUGCUCAAUAGGUUAACUAAAUCUAGAGGAGGAAGAAUGGAGAUCCGUUUUGAGGCAGGUUUAAAAAGGCCACGUGAUGCUAUAGAGUCAGCCAAGUUAGUAUUAGAGGCAGGAGUUGCCGUUAGGUGUCAUGUACAUAUCCUCCCAACAUGGAUUCAAUACAGGAAUGACAAAGACGAAACCCAGUUCAACACCUUCCUUCACCAUUUAUCUGUAAGUAUGGUUAUGUAUGGAAACUAGUAAUAUAGUUUUGCUCUGUUCCAUACUUUCUAGGUUGGUGAUAAUGAGACUCCCAUAAUUUUCAAUAGAUGAGGUUCAAGUUGGAUAGCCAAGAUGAUGUAACCAGACAAGCUUACACCCAUGUUUUCAAGUCUACUCUGCGACAGUAUCGGUAUAACUUGAGGAAAACUCACUUUGAAGGCAAGGCUAACAGUGAACUUGCCCAAACAUCUCAAGUGGAAAAUAUAUCGGAUGAAGACUGGAGAGGCCUUUUUAAACAUUGGUCUGAUCCAAAGUAUCAGGUACAUUAUAUAUAUGUGAUCAGAUCACAUGUUGAAGUCCUAUUUAUGCAUGUGCCUCACAAAUCUAUCUUCUUGUAGGUGAAUUGUUCAAAGAACAAGGCCAACCGUAUGAAAGUGAAAUUCCAAUAGACGACAGGAUCUCGUAGCUAUAUUGCACACUGUGAGGCUCAUGUAAUUAGCUGCUGUUUCACUCUUUUUGUUGUACCAUAUUAUAAGAUCUAUAUUGACUUGCUCUAAAUGUAGAGGAAAGCUUGCAAGGACCAAAAAGUACCUAAACCAAAUGCUAUGGAAAUCUUUAAGGACUGUCACACCAGCAAGACGAAGGGCAUGACUACACCAGUCAAAGCCGUUGUUGUAAGUCCUUAAUACUCAUGCCUUUUAACUACUUACUCUGACUUGUGCCUUGAACUGCAUGGUUUGCAGCCAAUGUCUAUUACUCUUUUCAAUUUUAUACAAAAUUGUCUUAGCGUAUCAUUGCACCUUACAAGGUUUAAAAGAGAGGAGUGAUGUUCCUUUGACCUUGAUCUGUAAUCUAGUUCCGUGCUAGACUUGCCCACACAAUAUUACAAUUACCUGUUUGUUUGUUCUCAGUUUGUUUUGUGAUAUGAAUGAUGCCAUACUAUGCUUACCAUACUAUAAACUUUGUCUCUUUAUCCUUAGCUGUCAAUACAAUGUGAAGAAAUAGACAAUACAUUGGCCAUGAUACAUGGUCAUAUGUUUGGAACCUGGUUUAUUAUGUACUUUGCAGUAAAAUACAACUAAUAUUUUACAUGGGUUCACCAGAAUAAGUUUUGUAUAUAGACCAAAGCUAUUUUGUUUGGUUUUGAUGCCUCUUUAAUAUCUACUGUUCUGGUACUAAUAAUGUGAAAACUCAACUUUUCAGCAAGCUAUGGAAAAAAUGGUGGAACCGCCACCUUCUGAAGGUGGCAAGGCAACUAUAACGGCAAUGUCAGCUCUUGCUGCAGUGGGUCAGUACCUGUCCACCAACAGUGCGAAAAGCACGUUCCUGCGUAUUAUUAGGUUGGUUGUUAAGGCAAUCUCAUCCAAACUGCCUCGUGAUCAAGAUAUGCAAGCUCAAAACUAUGUUAUAUCUACGCUCCAAACACAAGUCCAUUCCCUAAUAGAGGCCCUUUCUGAAACAAGGACAUCCAUUGUUCGAUGUCUUCAAGAUAUGCAUGGUUUUGAAACCAGACUAUCAGACAUUUUCUAUGUUGUUCAGAAGCCUAGGAGAAAUGAAGGCGAAGGUUAUGGUGCUCUUUCAGAUAAUACAACAUGAAAACAUAACAGUCAGGUCAAAUGAACUAAGUUUCUGAACUUCUGGUGGUGCAUUUAUCUGCCAGACUAUUAACUUUUAUGCCAACCUUCCUUUUGUUUUAUAGGUGUAAUUUGUUUUGUUGUGAUGCAAAAUUUGUUCUUGAUGGGUAGCCACCGGCUGAAGAAAACAGCAAGCCAUUUUUGUAUAGUGUAGGGUGUUCCCUAUAUUUGCACUGGUGGCGAUCUUUGAUGCCCAGUGGAUGUAAUAUGUGCAAUCGCCUUAAUAGCCUAGCAUUAGUUUCAGGCUUAUUUAUUUCCUAGUCUUCUUUUUCCCUGGUUUGCUAAUGGCCGCAACAACCAUGGGCCAUAUACGGACCAUGGAAACCUUGACCCUGCUAUAGGUCGUAGCAUCCAUGGGCCUCCUAUGGGCCAUCGAUAAAUGGGCCUCCAACAGGGCCGUAGAAUCGGUGGGCAUCUGGCCGUCGGAUAAAUGGGUCUACAUGGGCCGUAAACGGUCAUAAUUGGUAACGGCCCAGCACAGUAACAGGACAUUAACAGGCCGGAGGAAAGCAAAGGCUUAAUUCUGUCACAGGCAUAAUGGGCCAUUAAUGGGCCAGAAUAUAGGACGGGCUGGAAAUAGUGCAGCGGGUUAACAGGCCACAAACGGACCGACUCUGGCAACGGGCCGAAUUUGUCCCAUUAGGGGAACAGGACAGUAAUGGGCGGGAAGUAAUCGAGGGCUGGAAAGGAUCCCAAGAACGUAUUGGCCGUCAGUAGGCCGAAAGCUAACAUGGGCUAGAAACGGCCCAUGUGAAUCAUGGGCCAUUAAUGGGUACAAAGAAAUUUACUGUUCAUUAUGGGCUAGAGUCACUGUGGGCCUCUAAAGAGCCUAAAGAUAGGAAAGGCCUCAUAUGGGCCAAAAGACGUCGUGGGCCAUACAUGGGCCGAAAGUGAAAUGGGCUGGUGUUAUAUUUGACAGCCGACAUGACGUUGUUGGGCCGAUUUCGGGUUAGCCCUAACGGACUAUGAGUUACCGGGCCAUAAAAUGGGCUAUUUGCAAAGAGACCAUCAACAAGCUUUUCAUGGGCCAGCCCGCUAACUUUUGACCAAGUCAAAUGGGCCGGCCUUUGUAAACUAAAUGGGCCAGUGGUGGGCCAUCACACAUGUCGACAUGUCAUAGGCGCCUAUCUGACCGACUGACGAGCUGACACGUGUUUCCUCCGGCCAAUCAGAAUUUUACACAUGGAAAAUUCUCAUUGGUCCAGGCUGUUAACGGGUUAUCGGAUCCAAAACUGGACCCGAUAGCUUAACGAUGACCCGUUACGGUGGAUGCCACGUGUCGUUCACCCUUGAAGAAAGCACUUCUGUGACGCACGAUUUAUCGUCAUGGAAGUGGACACUUCAGUGAUGAUAAUUUUGGUAAUGUCAUGGAACACUUCUAUGACAUCACAUGUAUGACUAUCUUGAUUCGUUCAUAAAAUCGUCAUGGAUGUACAUGCAUGACAAAAAACGUGACCGACCAUGACAAACACGUAUCAUCAUGGAAGUGUAUUUUUCGUAGUGAUAUCUCCUUCUUUUUUGUCUUCUCCACAACCACCGUCUAUUCCACCUAUAGUGCUAUGUCCAUUGCUCAUGCUCAUGUAUUGCAUGAAAGUUGAAAAAAAUUGAGAACGUCAAAAGUAUGAAACAAUUGCUUGGCUUGUCAUCGGGGUUGUGCAUGAUUUGAAUAUUUUGUGUCAUGAAGAUGGAGCAUAGCCAGACUAUAUGAUUUUGUAGGGAUAAGCUUUCUUUGGCCAUGUUAUAUUGAGAAGACAUAAUUAUUUUGUUAGUAUGCUUGAAGUAUUACUGUUUUUAUGUCAAUAUUAAACUUUUGUUUUGAAUCGUACGUGUCUGAACAUUCAUGCCACAAUAGAGAAUUAGAUGGAUAAAUAUGUUAGGUAGCAUUCCACAUCAAAAAUUCUAUUUUUAUCAUUUACCUACUCGAGGACGAGCAUGAAUUAAUCUUGGGGAUGCUUGAUACGUCUCCAAUGUAUCUAUAAUUUUUUAUUAUUCCAUGCUAUUAUAUUAUCUGUUUUGGAUGUUUUAUAUGCAUUAAUAUGCUAUUUUAUAUGAUUUUCAGGACUAACCUAUUAACCCAGAGACUAGUGACAGUUUCUGUUUUUUUCCUUGUUUUAGAGUUAUGCAGAAAAGGAAUACCAAACGGAGUCCAAAUGGAAUUAAACUUUCGCGAUGAUUUUUCUUGGACCAGAAGACACCCAGGAGACUUGGAGUGCAAGUCAGAAGAGCCAUGAGGCGGCCGCAAGGGUGGAGGGCGCGCCCAUGGGGGUAGGGCGCCCCCCGGCCUUGUGGGCCCCUCGGUGACCCCUUGACCUAGAUCAUCCUCCUAUAUAAUAUCAUAUAACCCGAAAACUUCAAGGGGAGCCACGAAACCACUUUUCCACCAUCGCAACCUUCUAUAUCCGUGAGAUCCCAUCUAGGGGCCUUUUCCGGCAUCCUGCGGGAAGGGGAGUCGAUCAUGGACACUAGUAGAAAAGGGGCCUUUAGUCCUGGUUCAUAAGGGCCUUUAGUCCCGGUUCUGGAACCGGGACUAAAGGGUCGGUACUAAAGCCUCCCCCUUUAGUCCCGGUUCUUAUACGAACUGGGACUAUAGGCCCUCCACGUGGCCGCUGCCUAGAGGUCCACCUUUAGUCCCAGUUGGUAACACCAACCGGUACUAAAGGAAAUUUUAUGAUUUUUUUUUUGAAUUUUUUUUUGAAUUUUUUAUUUUCAAAUUUCUAAAUUAUUUUUACCUCUAAUCUCUAAUCACCCCUCAUCACUACUCAAUUUAACCUCUAAUCUCUAAUCACCCCUCAUCAUUCCAAAUCAUCUAACCUCCCGGACGGUCACCCAUCCUCUCACUACUCCAGCCUGAGCACGCUUAACUUCCGGGUUCUAUUCUCCCUCGUUUCCAAGUCUGCACUUGUUGUUUCUAUGACAAUAGUAAGAUGUCAAUCCUAUUAACCCUCAGGAAUUUAGCUUGAGCAUGAAGUCACACAUUUCACUGUUUGAGUUUGAAACUAUUGUUCUAAAAAACAAUAAUUAUUUAGUAACACUAAUAUUUCUUGAAUAAAUAGUUUGACCAUAGUUUGACCACAGUUUGACAAUAGUUUGACCAAUGUUUGACCAGAUUUGACCAAAAUACAAAAAAACUGAAAUAAUUAUUUAGUAACACUAAUAUUUCUUGAGUAAGUAGUUUGACCAUUGUUUGACCACAGUUUGACUAGAUUUGACCAAAAUUCAAAAAAAACUGAAAUAAUUAUUUAGUAACUAAUAUUCUUGAAUAAUUAUUUAGUAACACUAAUACUUCUUGAAUAAGUAGCUUGACCAUAGUUUGACAAGAUUUAACAAAAAUUCGAAAAAAACUGAAAUUUGAGCAUAACUUUUUUUCUUUUAGAAUUUGAGGAUUCUAAAAAUUUGCAAACAGGUCGUAGGCGGUCAAAAUUGGAUGCAGAUUUUCGUGCUGAACAUUUUGAUAUAUUAUACAUUUUUUCUGACAUUGUAUGCAAAAGUUAUAGCCGUUUUACAUUUUCCCUACAUUUUUUUGUAAAACAUGUCCAAAUUUAUGUUUUUAAAUUUUCCUAACUAGUAGAUGUAGUAAUAUAACUACCUCUCGAAGGAUUUUAUUUUUUGAAGUUUUUAUCAUUUUCUUUUGAUUUUUUUCAAAACAAAAAAGGCGAUCCACAGGGGGGGGUUAGUGUUUGAAAAUGGGACCUUUAGUCCCGGUUUGAGACAAAAACCGGGACUAAAGGGCAUCGCACCCUUUAGUCUCGGUUCGUGUCUCAAACCGGGACUAAUGCCUUAGCCGCAUGAACCAGGACCAGUGCUCAGAUUAGUCCCGUUCGUGACUGAACUGGGACUAAUGUGAAUAUUGCCCCGUGACCAAAGCCCUGUUUUCUACUAGUGGGAGGGCUUCUACAUUAACACCAUUGCCUCUCCGAUGAAGCGUGAGUAGUUUACCACAAACCUACGGGUCCAUAGCUAGUAGCUAGAUGGCUUCUUCUCUCUCUUUGAUUCAAAAUACAAAGUUCUCCUAGAUGUUCUUGGAAAUUUAUUAAAUGUAAUACUCUUUUGCGGUGUGUUUGCCGAGAUCCGAUGGAUUGUGGAUUUAUGAUCAGCUUAUCUAUGAAUAUUAUUUGAAUCUCCUUUGAAUUCUUUUAUGCAUGAUUUGAUAUAUUUGCAAGUCUCUCUGAACUAUCGAUUUGGUUUGGCCAACUAGAUUGGUUUUUCUUGCAAUGGCAGAAGUUCUUAGCUUUGGGUUCAAUCUUGUGGUGCUCGAUCCUAGUGACAGAAGGGGAACCAACACAUAUUGUAUUGUUGCCAUCGAGGAUAAAAAGAUGGGGUUUUCAUCCUAUUGUUUGAGUUAAUUCCUCUACAUCAUGUCAUCUUGCUUAAGGCAUUACUCUGUUCUUUAUGAACUUAAUGCUCUAGAUGCAUGCUAGAUAGCGGUUGAUGUGUGGAGUAAUAGUAGUAGAUGCAGAAUCUGUAACAGCCCCAAAAUUGGGUUAUCAAUUUUUGUGCUGUUAUUUGUUCCUGGCACUCAUUUUCAAAAUCAUUCUCCUGAGUUUGUUGGAUGACUCUGAUGAUUCUUAUCAUUUUCAACCUUUCAAAACCUUGCUCAAGUCUUUUUCAGUGGGCAAGCCCUCAUUUGCAUCAGCUCAAAUCCUUUCAAACCCUAAUUCCAAAUUUUUGGAAUUUGGACAUGCCCUUUGUGCUUACAAAGGAGCCAUCAUUUUCCUUGAUCUGUUGAUCAUUACAAUUGUUCCUAGAGACCGUUCUACCUUUCUGAACCUUGGAUAUGCCAAAAUAUUGCUAAUUCCCAUGCAAUAUUUUUGAAUUGUGAUUUAUUACUUUUCUUGCUUUUCUGAGGAAUAAAAUCCAAAGGCAUAGCUAGCCAUCUCCUAAAUUCAUGAGAAUUGGUGGAGUUGAUACUUAUGCCUAAUCCAAGCUCUGGCAAAUAUAUUAGCCAUAAUUAAAUAAGGAAAAUUGUUUUUUCCUAUUUGAUGCCAAUAUUGCUUUUCUACCAUUUUCCAAAGGAACUACUAUUUUUAUAGCAGGGACAAUUCCCACAUAAAUUGUGGAGCUUGUCCUUGUUAUAUAAUCACUAGUUCCAUCCUCAUCUCAUGUUCCUCAGUUAAGAAAGUUGGCACAUGAUCCAAUGCAAGUUUCUGCCUUCUCUGAAAUUUUGCAAAGGAAGUGCUUUAUUCCCAAUUCCAAUGAAGCUGUAAUUUGGCAGGGUGAUUAACCUUGAUAAAUAACCCAUGUAUGCCAAAUAGGAGCUCAAUCCAUUCAUCCUAGCUCCCUGUGCAAUUUUUCAAAGUUUCUGACCAGAAUGUAAUUUUGUGAAGGAAGUAUCUUUAUAGAGUUUCCAAAUGGGAUGAAACAUUUCCAUCCUCUCAAAUAUCUCAAAUCAGUAGCCUCCACCCAAAUUCAGUUCAUUUCAUUGAAGUCUGUGAGCACAGGGGCAAUUCUUGGUUUUCGUCCAAUUUUUCAGUUUGUGAAGCAAGUGCAUUUUACCUUGCUCCAUUAUGGUUGAAAAUAUUCCCAGGCUUUCUCCUAUCUAUAUGAUCCAUCUCCACAAGAUUUUGUCUCAUUUCAUCUAGAAAAUUGUCCUAAGGAUUUUUUUGAAGAUUUUGGAUAGAAUUGAUAGCUAUGAAGGAAGUACCAUUUUGGCAAGUCCAUUUGGUAUGAAAUUCUUACAGCAUCAUUAUUUAUCCAAAUCAUCAGGAUUUGCCAAGUCUUAGCCCAAUCCAACACUCCUAGUGAGUGCUUGUUCAUCAUUCAGUUUCUGGGUCAGAGUUGGUAGUUGUACAGCAACUAUGGUAAAUAGUUAUCCAAAUUACCUCAAAACUCCCAGGACCGUAGUCCUUUCUACCCUAAGCCUCCCAGACAUCCAUUUUACCAUUUAACCUCUCUGGUUUUAUCUCUAAGAUGUUGCCAAGUUUGCAACAGCAAACUUGUGGAGCUUGGUGUACUCAGCUCAAUUUGUCUGUGCUUGUUUCUUUACCAUGGUAAUACUCCACUCUGGAAGGACUACGCGGUAGACAUGAGCUGGCCUCAGUAAAAACUCCGGAGCGCGCAUUGUCCAUGGUGACCACGAGUUUAGCCAGCCAAAACGGUGGUGUAUCCACUGUUCUCAUUGGCAGCGCUGCUCCGACCAGCUCUAGCCUCGCCAUUAAUACAUAACAGUUCCCCCUCGCCGUCCUCUUCCCGCUGGACCUCUGGCCCCCUUCGUUUUCUUAUCCGGCUAGCCGUGCCAACGACAGAAACAGUGCGCUCCUAUGCAUCAUCGCCUUCCUCCCUGGUGUCCUCUUCCUCCGUUCGUCUGCGAGCUUUGCUCGAUUCCAUGAGCCUCUGGCGCUCGUCCGCACCCUCCUCGUCGCCUUCCCGCCGCUUCCCGUGAGCUUUGGCCGCGCCUACCGACACUGCGCUCUCGCUGGUGCACGAACACGUCGCCUACCGCGUGCCGCCUCCUCCCCUCCCCCUCGAGCCCUCCCGUGGCUAUUUAAGCACGCCCCGAGCAUCCUCACAGUCCACAACCCCCUACCCGAGCUCAGAGCCCCUCUCUGACCACCACCGUCGCCAUAGCUGCCACCUCGGGUCUCGCCCGAUUUCGGUGACCCCGAGCUCUCCUCUCCAUUCCUCCACCGCCACCGCAACCCCCAGAGUCUGGCGCUUCUCCCCUGACCUCAGCCUCUCCGUUCCCCCACCUUAGCCCCAUCUUCUCCGGUGGCCGAAGCCCCUCUCCGCCGUGUGCGCCACUGUUUCUUCUCCCGCGCUCCUCGCGGGAAACGGAGACUACCCCGGGGUGUGCCUCCUCCUCCUGAGCCCGGGGGUAGGUCGCCCGUCGCCUGCCGUGGCCGGACACGCCGGCGAGCGCCAUCGGGGCGGGCGUCUCCCCGCGGCCAGGCGCGCGUCGAGCGGGAGGAAGAAGAAGAAGCUAGGCCAGGCGGGCCCCUUCCUGUGGGGCCCCACCUGUCGGUGACCGAAGGGCCUGGCCCAGCGCCACGUCGGAUAAGUGGUGGCGCCCCCGCCGCGAAGUCGUUUUCCACGCGCGAAAGCGCAUUUCUGGAAAGAGCGAUUUCAAUCUCAGAAGGCGUAUUUUUCCUCUCCUUCGACAGAGAAUAUGUUUCCCCCUCUGGAAGACGUAUUCUUAGAAAAUAUACAUUCUGUUUAAUUUACCAGGGACCUGUUUGUAGAAGUAUUUUUACAGACUAGUUCGUAAGCUUUAAAUGUCCGUAUCUUUUUCUCCAUAACUCCGAUUGAGAUGAUUCCAACGCUCCCGUUCUCUGUUCCUCGAGCUCUUUCCAUUGGUAUCAUUUUCAUUAUGCUUACACAUAGUGAAAAUGACUUUUUGCCCUUGCCCGUAAACAGACCCCUCCGAGAGAGAACUGUUUCCGGCAAACCUUUCUGCGACCGUUCCGCAAUUUUUCCUAGAGUGUUUGUCGACCCCCAGGCAAGCCAACCUCUUAUCAUGGGCCCCGAACUUGCAUGUUGACUUUGCUUGUACCUUGUGUGUGUGCAGUUGCAAUUGUUUCAUAUCAUUUUCGUCUGUAGUUAUUCCAUUAUGCCUAUUAUGCAUGCUUGUGUUUGCAUGAUAUCGUUGGCCAUGCUAAUUAGAAUGUUGUUAUUGAUAAUGCCAUGCUAAUUAGAAUGUUGUUAUCGUUGGCCAUGACUCUACUUUAUUUGCAUGUCAUCGUUAUAAAAUGUUAUGAGGAUUGUAAUGCACCGUUGAUAUGAUAUUUACUUGGUAUGGUCAUGUUCUUUAUGCUAUAGUUGUGCACUUGAGAAGUUCAAUAUAUUGUUCAUGCAUUUGUAUGCUGCAUGCUCAUUGUUGCAUUCAUGUUCAUGACGAUGGAGAAGGAAUUAAAAUGACUUAAUAAUAACAAACCUCCUCCGUCAUCGAUGGGAUCGAGUCAUACUGCCGCCAAAUUGAACUUUUUCAGUGCAGCCACAUUUGCCUUAUGGGAAGGCCUUAAUGCGAUCUAUUGUCGUGCCUCUCGCUGGUGCCUCCAACUAGGGAAGGUUAUGCGCAUGCUUACCCUGAUCAGGUAUGCAGACAUAACCUUGUGUGCCCGUUGUUAAAAAAUUUGGUACCGGUCCCCGUGAGGGAUGUUUUUGGCCACGACGGUGGUCGUUGUGUCUUUGGUAGACACGGGGCCACCCAGGACUAGCCCAGUUGGAAGUGGAUCGGAGUGGCUAGGAGAGUGGCAUGACAGUAGGUCGGUUUCGUCGGAAUGCCAUUGGUCCACCCAAAUGGGAUGACGAGGCCAUGGGUUUGGUGGUGUGGGUACAGUGUGCUACCUGUGCAAAGUGUAUAUAAAGUCUAUCGGUAGCAACACAAUUCGUAGUAGGUCCCACUAUCAGGUCUUGGUCGAAAUUGAGGAUAAACCUGAAAUAAUUAAGUUGGUAAAUAAAGAUGUGAUAACAAGAAUAUGGUGACUUGGACUAUGAGAUGGUCGUGAGAAGUCAUGACAAUGUUUUGAUAUGAUCACGAGACGAGGUCUCGGUGAGUGUUGGAGACCAAGUGUUGGUCAUGGUUGUGAUUGCCGGAAAGAUCACCGUUUGAGACCCGGUGUUGGUCAUGGUUGUGAUCGCCGGAAAUAUCACCGUUCGGUUGCGAGGCAACCCAUUGGUAAGAGAGUCCGAGGGACUCGGUGCAUAAGUUUGGUUGCUUUGCAUGAGCAAUAUAUCAUUAUUUGCAUUUAAAGAACCAUGAUAGAACAGAAGAUGGUUGCAUAAAGUAAACAUGCUAUAUCUACAUUGGAUAUAUUCGGUAGUUUAUUUUCAGCAUAGUUUCAUGAUGCCAUGCCAUGCUUUGAUUUAUAUGUUAAAUUAUGCCAUGAUUGGGUGAUAUGUUAUGUUUUGCUAUUACUCUGUUAGAAGCAUAUUUUGUUAUGCCAUGAUUACUACCAUGUUAGUAGAUGUUAUGAUAUUGUUCAUGCUUAGUUGAUCUUUAUCAUGCCAUGUUUAGUAAUUGAUAUAAGGUAGCUUGUUGCGUGCGCUUGGUUCUCGUCUUGUCUUAUGCUUGUUUCGAUGCUAUGUAUUUGGUUGUCUUGCAAGUACAUUCAAUGUACUCACCUGGCGUGUCAUGCCAGUUUUGUAGGUCCUGCAAAAUUGUUCGUUUGUUUCGUCGUGCUAGGCCGUAACGUUGCCAGUCUUGUGAGUUGUGGAGCCCAGCCAGAGUUGAUGAGCCGCCAAACCAAGACUUGCGCCGCCAUUUAUAUAGCCGUAGGGCUAUGCGAGAUGGUUGUAUUCAUCAAUGAUGUAAUAUUAUGCACAUGUAUUUGAUGAAUAUUAUUGUACCUGGAAUGCUGUAUUAUGGACCUGUCGUGCAUCAGGUGUUAUCCUGGGCUGACGUGCGAAGGCCCCCUGCUCCAUGCGGAUCGGGGUGCCACAGAAUCGUUUUGGUCUACUUGACACGGACGUGAUGCCAAUAUUCAUGCGCUUUUCUAUCAAUUGCUCGACAGUAAUUUGUUCACCCAUCAUAAUAAUUUCUAUCUUGAGAGAAGCCUCUAGUGAAACCUAUCGCCACCGGGUCUACUUUCCAUCAUAUAAGUUUUCGAUCAAUAAUUCCAGUUUCCUAUUUACUUUCAUUACAAUAUUUUACUUUCCGUUCCAUAAACCAAAAAUACCAAAAGUAUUACUUUACCGUUUGUCCAUCUAUAUCAAAUCUCACUUUGCAAAUAUCUGUGAAGGGAUUGACAACCCCUUUGUCGCGUUGGCUACAAGUUGGUGUCUGUUUGUGUAGGUAUUCGGUGGCUUGUUGCGUUUCUCCUACUGGAUUGAUACCUUGGUUCUCAAAAGCUGAGGGAAAUACUUACUCUACUUUUCUGCAUCACCCUUUCCUCUUCAAGGGAAAAACCAAUGCAAGAUCAAGAGGUAGUAGGAAGAAUUUGUGGCGCCGUUGCCAGGGAGAUAUAUGCCAAGCCAAGGCAGACCAAGUACCCAUCAUAAACUCUCAUCCCUCGCAUUGCAUUAUUCUUCGUUCGCCUCUCGUUUUCCUAUCCCCCACUUCUAAAAUGAUUUUCGAAGAGAUUCACCUUUUCUUCGCCCCUCUUUCGUUCAUCUUCUUCGUUUGCUUCUUGUGUGAUCAUAUGUUGGAUUGCUUCCCUUGCCACGAUGAAUCCUCCAAAAAACUUUGACCUUCACCUUAGGAGGUUAGACGAUAUUGAAUAUAAUCUUAGAAGCUUCAUGUCUUUGCGCAAUUCGAGCAUAACAAUUUCUUUAGAAGCGAGCUCAAGGAGCAGAAAAGUUUUAUGUAAUACAUGAAUAAAGAACUUGAUGAUAUGUCCAAGGAAUUUUAUGGUUUGAGAUCUCAGUUCGCGCAUCUUGAAAAUUUAGUAGGCCAAAUCUCUGUAAACAAGCUACUUUACUAAAGAAAAUGGCCGCCAAACCAGAGGCUGAAAAUAAUGAUGAGGAUCUUAAAGUGAUUGAUGUGACUCCUAUUGAAUCUUUGUUUUCCAAUGUUAUUCUUGAUAAAGAUGGGACUAGAGACGAGUCAACUUUAGUUAGAAGGUGUCCCAAUGAUUCGGAGUUUUUAGAUCUUGAUGCAAAAAUUGAUAGAAGUGGGAUUGGAGGGGUCAAAACUUUAGGUAGCAAUGAACCCACUCCUUUUGGAUUUCAAGGAAUUUAAUUAUGAUAAUUGUUCUUUAAUAGAUUGUAUUUCCUUGUUGCAAUCCAUGUUCAAUUCUCCUCAUGCUUAUAAUCAAAACAAAGCUUUUACUAAACAUAUCGUUGAUGCCAUGAUGUAAUCUUUUAAAGAAAAACUUGAAUUGGAAGUUUCUAUUGUUGGGGAACGUAGAAAUAAUUGAACAUUUUGUACGUGUCACCAAGAUCAAUCUAGAAGAUGCUAGGAACAAGAGAGAGGGAGUGCAUCUUCAUACCCUUGAAGAUCGCUAAGCGGAAGCCUUACAAGAACGCAGUUGGUGGAGUCAUACACGCAACAAUUUAGAUCGCAGUUGAUUCCGAUCUAAGAGUAGAACAACGACGCCUCCGCGUUCAACACACAUGCAGCCCGGUAACGUCUCCCGCGCCUUGAUCCAGCAAGGAGGAGGGAGAGGUUGGGGAAGACAACUCCAGCAGCAGCAGCAUGAAGGCAUGGUGGUGGUGGAGAGAGGGGGGGCGCCCUAGGGUGGGCCUUAGGCCCAUAUGCACCUAGGGUUUCCCCCUUCUCCCCUUUUGCCGCGCCUUGGGCCUUGGUUGGAGGCGCACCAGCCCACUCAGGGGCUGGUCCCUUCCCACUCUUGGCCCAUGCAAGCCUCCGAGGCCAGUGGCCUCUCCCGGUGGACCCCCGAAACCCUUCCUGUGGUCCAAGUACAUUACCAGUGAUGCCCGGAACACUUCCGGUGUCCAAAUCCUCACUUCCUAUAUAUCAUUCUUUACCUCCGGACCAUUCUGGAACUCCUCAUGACAUCCGGGAUCUCAUCUGGGACUCCGAACCACAUUUGGUAACCAGGUACAUAUUUUCCCUAUAACCCUAGCGUCAUCGAACCUUAAGUGUGUAGACCCUACGGGUUCGGGAGGCAUGUAGACAUGACCGAGACAUCUCUCCGGUCAAUAACCAACAACAGGAUCUGGAUACCCAUGUUGGCUCCCACAUGUUCCAUGAUGAUUUUAUCAGAUGAACCACAAUGUCGGGGAUUCAAUCAAUCCUGUAUACAAUUCCCUUUAUCUAUCGGCAUGUUACUUGCCCGAGAUUCAAUCGUCUGUAUCUCUAUACCUCGUUCAAUCUCGUUACCGUCAAGUCUCUUUACUCGUUCUAUAACACAUGAUCCCGUGGCUAACUCCUUAGUCACAUCGAGCUCAUUAUGAUGAUGCAUUACUGAGUGGCCCAGAGAUACCUCUCCGUCAUACGGAGUGACAAAUCCCAGUCUCGAUUCAUGCCAACCGAACAUAUACUCUCAGAGAUACCUGUAGUGCACCUUUAUAGCCACUCAGUUAUGUUGUGAUGUUUGGUACACCCAAAGCAUUCCUAUGGUAUCUGGGAGUUGCACAAUAUCAUGGUCUAAGGAAAUGAUACUUGACAUUUGAAAAGUUUUAGCAAACGAACUACAUGAUCUUGUGCUACGCUUAGGAUUGGGUCUUGUCCAUCACAUCAUUCUCCUAAUGAUGUGUUCCUGUUAUCAAUGACAUCCAAUGUCCAUGAUUAGGAAACCAUGACCAUCUAUUGAUCAACGAGCUAGUCAACUAGAGGCUUACUAGGGACAUAUUACGAUCUAUGUAUUCACACAUGUAUUACGGUUUCCGGUUACUACAAUUAUAGCAUGAACAAUAGACAAUUAUCAUGAACACGGAAAUAUAAUAAUAACCACUUUAUUAUUGCCUCUAGGGCAUAUUUCCAACAGUCUCCCACUUGCACUAGAGUCAAUAAUCUAGUUACAUUGUGAUGAAUCAGACACCCUUAUAGUUCUGGUGUUGAUCAUGUUUUGCUCGCGGAAGAGGUUUAGUCAACGGAUCUGCGACAUUCAGAUUGGAAUGCACUUUACAAAUAUAUGUGUCUCCAUCCUGAAUAUAUUCGCGAAUGGAGUUGAAGCGACGCUUGAUAUGCCUGGUCUUCUUGUGAAGCCUGGGCUCCUUGGUAAGGGCAAUAGCUCUAGUGUUGUCACCAAAGAGAGUCAUUGGGUCCGACACAUUAGGAAUAAAUCCUAGGUCGGUGAUGAACUCCUUCAUCCAGACUGCUUCAUGUGCUGCCUCCGAGGUUCCUAUGUACUCCGCUUCACAUGUAGAUCCCGCCACGACGCUUUUCUUGCAACUGCACCAACUGACUGCCCCACCAUUCAAAAUGUACACGUAUCCGGUUUGUGACUUCUAGUCAUCCAGACCUAUGCCGAAGCUAGCAUCGACGUAACCCUUUACGACGAGCUCUUCGUCACCUCCAUAAACGAGAAACAUAUCCUUAGUCCUUUUCAGGUACUUUAGGAUAUGCUUGACCGCUGUCCAGUGUUCCUUAUAGAUGGUCACGUUACCAUCCGCGUCAGUCUAAAUCUUAAAGAUCAAUUUAUUCUCUAUGGCAUGUCGAUCAAUGGGCAAGUCUGUCAAAGUGCAUACUUUGUAUUCAUACAUGGAUCCUAUCUCGGAUUUCAUGGCUUCAAGCAAUUUGUUGGAGUCCGGGCCCGCCAUCACUUCUUCAUAGUUUGAAGGUUCACCAUUGUCUAACAACAUGAUUUCCAGGACAGGGUUGCUGUACCACUCUGGUGUGGAACGUGUCCUCAUGGACCUACGAAGUUCAGUAGCUUGAUCCGAAGACUCAUCAUCAGCAUCAUUAUCUUCCUCUCUAGUCGGUGCAGGCACCACAGAAACAUCUUCCUGAGCUGCGCUACUCUCCGGUUCAAGAAGCAGUACCUCAUCAAGUUCUACUUUCCUCCCACUUACUUCUUUCGAGAGAAACUCUUUCUCUAGAGAUUCCAUCCUUGGCAACCAAGAUCUUGCCUUCGGAUCUGAGGUAGAAGGUAUACCCGAUAGUUUCCUUAGGGUAUCCUAUGAAGACGCAUUUUUCCGACUUCGGUUCGAGCUUUUCAGGUUGAAGUUUCUUGACAUAAGCAUCGCAUCCCCAAACUUUUAGAAACGACAGCUUAGGUUUCUUUCCAAACCAUAAUUCAUACGGUGUUGUCUCAACGGAUUUCGACGGAGCCCUAUUUAAAGUGAAUGCAGCAGUCUCUAAAACAUAACCCCAAAAUGAUAACGGUAGAUCAAUAAGAGACAUCAUAGAUUGCACCAUAUCCAAUAGAGUGCGAUUACAACAUUCGGACACACCAGUUCGCUGAGGUGUUCCAGCCAGUGUGAGUUGUGAAACAAUUCCACGUUUCCUUAAGUGCUUGCCAAACUCGUGACUCAAUUAUUCUCCUCCAUGAUCUAAUCGUAAGAACUUUCAUUUCCUGUCACGUUGAUUCUCUACUUCACUCUGAAAUUCCUUGAACUUUUCAAAGGUCUCAGACUUGUGUUUCAUUAAGUAGACAUACACAUAUCUAAUUAAGUCAUCAGUGAGGGUGAGAACAUAAUGAUAGACACCGUGAGCCUCAACACUCAUUGGAGUGCACACAUCAGUAUGUAUGAUUUCCAAUAAGUUGGUUGCUCACUCCAUUGUUCCGGAGAACAGAAUCUUGGUCAUUUUGCCCAUGAGGCAUCGUUCGCUUGUGUCAAAUGAUUCAUAAUCAAGAGACUCCGAAAUUCCAUCUGCAUGGAGUUUCUUCAUGUGUUUGACACCAAUAUGACCAAGGCGGCAGUGCCGCAAGUAUGUGGACUAUCAUUAUCAACCUUACAUCUUUUGGCAUUCACACUAUGAAUAUGUGUAACAUCACGUUCAAUAUUAAACAAAAAAUAAACCAUUGACCAGUGGGGUAUGACCAUAAAACAUAUCUCUCAUAUAAAUGGAACAACCAUUAUUCUCAGAUUUAAAUGAGUAUCUAUCUUGCAUUAAACAAGAUCCAGAUACAAUGUUCAUGCUCAAAGCUGGUCGAAAAUGACAAUUAUUGAGGUUUAAAACUAAUCUUGUAAGUAGAUCUAGAGGGAGCAUGACGAUGGCGAUCACAUCGACCUUGGAACCAUUCCCACGUGCAUCGUCACCUUGUCCUUCGUCAGUCUCCGCUUAUUCCGCAACUCCUGUUUUGAGUUACAAAUAUGAGCAACCGCACCGGUAUCAAAUACACAGGAGCUACUACGAGCACUGGUAAGGUACACAUCAAUAACAUGUAUAUCACAUAUAACUUUGGCGCUGCCAGCCUUCUUAUCCGCUAAGUACUUGGGGCAGUUCCGCUUCUAGUGACCAUUACCCUUACAAUAAAAGCACUGAGUCUCAGGCUUGGGACCAUUCUUUGGCUUCUUACCGACAACUAAUUUACCGGGCGCGGCAACUCCCUUGCCGUCCUUCUUGAAGUUCUUCUUACCCUUGCCUUUCUUGAUGUUGGGGAACGUAGUAAUUUCAAAAAACUUCCUACACACACGCAAGAUCAUGGUGAUGCAUAGCAAUGAGAGGGGAGAGUGUUGUCUACGUACCCUCGUAGACCGAAAGCGGAAGCGUUAGCACAACGCAGUUGAUGUAGUCGUACGUCUUCAUGAUCCGACCGAUCAAGUACCGAACGUACGGCACCUCCGAGUUCAGCACACGUUCUGCCCGAUGACGUCCCUCGAACUCCGAUCCAGCCGAGUGUUGAGGGAGAGUUUCGUCAGCACGACGGCGUGGUGACGAUGUUGAUGUUCUACCGACGCAGGGCUUUGCCUAAGCACCGCUACAGUAUUAUCGAGGUGGACUUAAGGUGGAGGGGGGCACCGCACAUGGCUAAGAGAUCAAUGAUCUAAAGUUGUGUCACUAGGGUGCCCCCUGCCUCUGUAUAUAAAGGAGCAAAGGGGGUGCGGCCGGCCAGGGCUAGGCGCGCCAGGAGGAGUCCUACUCCCACCGGGAGUAGGACUCCCCCCUUUCCUAUUUGGAUUAGGACUUGAGGGGGAAGAAGGAAAGAGGGGGGGCCGGCCCCCUUGUCCUAAACCAAUUAGGUUUAGGCCUAGGGGGCGCGCCCCAUACUCCUCUUGCUGCCCUCCUUUUCCACUAAGGCCCAUGUAGGCCCAUUAAGCUCCCGGGGGGUUCCGGUAACCUCCCGGUAGUCCGAUAAAAUCCCGAUUUCACCCGGAACACUUCCGAUAUCCAAAUAUAGGCUUCUAAUAUAUCAAUCUUCAUGUGUCGACCAUUUUGAGACUCCUCGACAUGUCCGUGAUCACAUCCGGGACACCGAACAACCUUCAGUACAUCAAAACAUAUAAACUCAUAAUAAAACUGUCAUCGUAACGCUAAGCGUGCGGACUCUACGGGUUCGAGAACUAUGUAGACAUGACCGAGACACGUCUCCAGUCAAUAACCAAUAGCGGAACCUGGAUGCUCAUAUUGGCUCCUACAUAUUCUACGAAGAUCUUUAUCGAUAAAACCGCAUAACAACAUACGUUGUUCCCUUUGUCAUCGGUAUGUUACUUGCCCGAGAUUCGAUCGUUGGUAACUCAAUACCUAGUUCAAUCUCGUUACUAGCAAGUCUCUUUACUAGUUCUGUAAUACAUCAUCCCGCAACUAACUCAUUAGUUGCAAUGCUUGCAAGGCUUAAGUCAUGUGCAUUACUGAGAGGGCCGAGAGAUACCUCUCCGACAAUCGGAGUGACAAAUCCUAAUCUCAAAAUAUGCCAACCCAACAAGUACCUUCGGAGACACCUGUAGAGCACCUUUAUAAUCACCCAGUUACGUUGUGACGUUUGGUGGCACACAAAGUGUUCCUCUGGUAAACGGGAGUUGCAUAAUCUCAUAGUCAUAGGAACAUGUAUAAGUCAUGAAGAAAGCAAUAGCAACAAACUAAACAAUCAAGUGCUAAGCUAAUGGAAUGGGUCAACUCAAUCACAUCAUUCUCCUAAUGAUGUUAUUCCAUUAAUAAAAUGACAACUCAUGUCUAUGGUUAGGAAACAUAACCAUCUUUUAUCAACAAGCUAGUCAAGUAGAGGCAUACUAGUGACACUCUGUUUGUCUAUGUAUUCACACAUGUAUUAUGUUUCCGGUUAAUACAAUUCUAGCAUGAAUAAUAAACAUUUAUCAUGAUAUAAGGAAAUAAAUAAUAACUUUAUUAUUGCCUCUAGGGCAUAUUUCCUUCAGUCUCCCACUUGCACUAGAGUCAAUAAUUUAGUUCACAUCGCCAUGUGAUUUAAUACCAAUAGUACACAUCAUCAUGUGAUUAACACCCAUAGUUCACAUCGACAUGUGACCAAUACCCAAAGGGUUUACUAGAGUCAAUAAUCUAGUUCACAUCGCUAUGUGAUUAAUACCCAAAGAGUACUAAGGUGUGAUCAUGUUUUGCUUGCGGGAGAAGUUUAGUCAACGGGUCUGCCGCAUUCAGAUCCGUAAGUAUUUUGCAAAUUUCUAUGUCAACAAUGAUCUACACGGAGCUACUCUAGCUAAUUUCUCCCACUUUUAAUAUUUAUCCAGAUUGAGACUUUGAGUCAUCCGGAUCAGUGUCAAAACUUGCAUCGACGUAACCCUUUACGACGAAUCUUUUGUCACCUCCAUAAUCGAGAAACAUAUCCUUAUUCCACUAAGGAUAAUUUUGACCAAUGUCCAGUGAUCUACUCCUAGAUCACUAUUGUACUCUCUUGUCAAACUCAGGGUAGAGUAUACAAUAGGUCUGGUACACCGCAUGGCAUACUUUAUAGAACCUAUGGCUGAGGCAUAGGGAAUGACUUUCAUUCUCUCUCUAUCUUCUGCCGUGGUCGGGUUUUGAGUCUUACUCAACUUCACACCUUGUAACACAGGCAAGAACUCCUUCUUUGACUGUUCCAUUUUGAACUACUUCAAAAUCUUGUCAAGGUAUGUACUCAUUGAAAAAACUUAUCAAGCAUCUUGAUCUAUCUCUAUAGAUCUUGAUGCUCAAUAUGUAAGCAGCUUCACCAAGGUCUUUCUUUGAAAAACUCCUUUCAAACACUCCUUUAUGCUUUGCAGAAUAGUUCGACAUUAUUUUCGAUCAACAAUAUGUCAUUCACAUAUACUUAUCAGAAAUGUUGUAGUGCUCCCACUCACUUUCUUGUAAAUACAGGCUUCACCGCAAGUCUGUAUAAAACUAUAUGCUUUGAUCAACUUAUCAAAGCGUAUAUUCCAACUCCGAGAUGCUUGCACCAGUCCAUAGAUGGAUCGCUGGAGCUUGCAUAUUUUGUUAGCACCUUUAGGAUUGACAAAACCUUCUGGUUGCAUCAUAUACAACUCUUCUUUAAUAAAUCCAUUAAGGAAUGCAGUUUUGUUUAUCCAUUUGCCAGAUUUCAUAAAAUGCGGCAAUUGCUAACAUGAUUCGGACAGACUUAAGCAUAGAUACGAGUGAGAAACUCUCAUCGUAGUCAACGCCUUGAACUUGUCAAAAAUCCUUUUGCGACAAUUCUAGCUUUGUAGAUAGUAGCACUACUAUCAGCGUCCGUCUUCCUCUUGAAGAUCCAUUUAAUCUCAAUGGCUCGCCGAUCAAUGGGCAAGUCAAUCAAAGUCCAUACUUUGUUCUCAUCCAUGGAUCUCAUCUUAGAUUUCAUGGCACUACUAGGGAAAGGCCUAGCAGCAGCGCGGGUUUUGGGUGUAUCAGUAGCGCGGGUGCCCGCGCUACUAAUACGGCGCCAUAGCUAACUUGUAGCAGUAGCGUGUGUUGACACACGCUACUGCUAUACAUGGUUAGCUGUAGCGUGUGUUGCAAACAACGCUACUGCUAAUUAGCUGUAGCGGGUCUUAUAUCCCGUGCUACUGCUAUUACUUUCAAAAACAAAACAAAAUCUCGAUCCCGUGCAUGUUGUCAAUGGUAGCAGUGGUUCGAUCUAGCGAUGUUUGGCAUCGCAGGAGGCAUGAACGGACAGCUGAAGACCAGAUCCAGCAGUGGCUGUUGGAGACGGCCCGUUUCUAUGGCAGAGCCAGGCCGCGGCAUGGGGCUCCUCUUCCUGACCAUGCCAGAUAACUCCGGAUUGUCCAUGGCGACGACCUGCACGGGCAUGGACAUGGUAGGGUGAGUCAAACCAUAGGGAGAGAUAGGAAAGGAAAACCGAGGGAGAGAGGAAGGUGAUGUAGGGAGCAACGGAGCUAGUCACCGGUGGUGAGGUGCUCCAGUGUGGUGGCGCGGGGCGGCGGCCUCCAAGACGUCGGUGGAAGACCGGCGAGCUCCUAGACGUCGGUGGCGCGAGGCGGCGGCCUCUUACGGUGCCACGGAGAUGGAUGGGCGCAUGGGCAAGAGGUCCAUGUGAGAGCGUAUGGAAAGUGAGAGGAAAGAAUGGUGGAAGAGAGGAGGGAUUUGGGAGAGGAGAUGGGGAUUCGGCUGAGUAUAUGGUGACUUCACCUACCUCAUACUUAGUAGUAGCGAGGGGUAUAAAACCGCGCUACUACUAUCAACUUAGUAGGAGCGCGGGUUUAUACCCCCCGCUACUACUAUGGCAUGUGUUGUGGGGCACGGUAGAGACCGCUUAGUAGUAGCGAGGGAUAAAACCCCGCGCUACUACUAUCAACUUAGUAUUAGCAAGGUUUAAAAGGCCGCGCUACUGCUAAUUAGCAGUAGUGCUUCUUUUUGUGCCGCGCUGCUGCUAAGAUUCUGUGUAUAAGGUUUUCCCUAGUAGUGUGGCCUCAAGCCAUUUUGCAGAAUCUGGGCUGAUCAUCGCUUCCUCAUAGUUCGUAGGUUCAUCAUGGUCAAGUAACAUGACCUCUAGAAGAAGAUUACCGUACCACACUGGUGUGGAUGUCACUUUGGUUUACGUACGAGGUUCAGUAGUAACUUGAUCUGAAGUUACAUGAUCAUCAUCAAUAGCUUCCUCACUAAUUAGUGUAGGAGUCACAAGAACAGAUUUCUGUGAUGAACUACUUUCCAAUAAGGGAGCAGGUACAGUUACCUCAUCAAGUUCUACUUUCCUCCCACUCACUUCUUUCGAGAGAAACUCCUUCUCCAGAAAGGAUUCAUUCUCAGCAACAAAUGUCUUGCCUUCGGAUUUGUGAUAGAAGGUGUACCCAACAGUUACUUUUGGGUAUCCUAUGAAGACGCACUUCUCCGACUUGGGUUUGAGCUUAUCAAGAUGAAACUUUUUCACAUAAGCAUCAGAACUACGAACUUUAAGAAACGACAACUUUGGUUUCUUGCCAAACCAUAGUUCAUACUGUGUCGUCUCAACGGAUUUAGAUGGUGCCCUAUUUAACGUGAAUGCAGCUGUCUCUAAUGCAUAACCCCAAAACGAUAGUGGUAAAUCGGUAAGAGACAUUAUAGAUAGCACCAUAUCUAAUAAAGUACGGUUACGACGUUCGGAUACACCAUUCCACUGUGGUGUUCCAGGUGGCGUGAGUAGUGAAACUAUUUCACAUUGUUUUAACUGAAGGCCAAACUCAUAACUCAAAUAUUCUCCUCCACGAUCAGAUCGUAGAAACUUUAUUUUCUCGGUACGAUGAUUUUCCACUUCACUCUGAAAUUAUAUGAACUUUUCAAAUAUUUCAGACUUUUGUUUCAUCAAGUAGAUAUACUCAUAUCUGCUCAAAUCAUCUGUGAAGAUCAGAAAAUAAUGAUACCUAUCGUGAGCUUCAAUAUUCAUCGGACCACAUACAUCAGUAUGUAUGAUUUCCAACAAAUCUGUUGCUCGCUCCAUUGUUCCAGAGAACGGAGUCUUAGUCAUCUUGCCCAUGAGGCAUGGUUCGCAAGCAUCAACUGAUUCAUAAUCAAGUGAUUCCAAAAGCCCAUCAGCAUGGAUUUUCUUCAUGCGCUUUACACCAAUAUGACCUAAACGGCAGUGCCACAAAUAAGUUGCACUAUCAUCAUUAACUUUGCAUCUUUUUGGCUUGAAUAUUAUGAAUAUGUGUAUCACUACGAUAGAGAUCCAACAAACCAUUUUUGUUGGUGUGUAUGAACAUCGAAGGUUCUAUUCAUGUAAACAGAACAACAAUUGUUCUCUAACUUAAAUGAAUAACCGUAUUGCAAUAAACAUGAUCAAAUUAUAUUUAUGCUCAACGUAAACAUGAAAUAACACUUAUUUAGGUUCAACACUAAUCCCGAAAGUAUAGGGAGUGUGCGAUGAUGAUCAUAUCAAUCUUGGAACCAAUUCCAACACACAUCGUCACUUCACCCUUAACUAGUCUCUGUUCAUUCUAUAACUCCUGUUUCGAGUUGCUAAUUUUAGCAACCGAACAAGUAUCAAAUACUCAGGGGCUACUAUAAACACUAGUAAGGCACACAUCAAUAACCUGUAUAUCAAAUAUACCCUUUGUUCACUUUGCCAUCUUUCUUAUCCACCAAAUAUUCAGGGAAUUUCCGCUUCCAGUGAUCAUUUCCUUUGUAGUAGAAGCACUCAGUUUCAGGCUUUGGUUCAGCUUUGGGCUUCUUCACAGGAGUGACAACUUGCUUGUCAUUCUACUUGAAGUUCCCUUUCUUUCCCUUUGCCCUUUUCUUGAAACUAGUGUUCUUGUCAAUCAUCAACACUUGAUGCUCUUUCUUGAUUUCUACCUUAGUCAAUUUCAACAUCACGAGGAGCUCGGGAAUCAUUUUCGUCAUCCCUUGCAUACUAAGUUCAUCAUGAAGUUCUAGUAACUUGGUGAUGGUGACUACAGAACUCUGUUAAUCACUAUCUUAUCUGUAAGAUUAACUCCCACUUGAUUCAAGCGAUUGUAGUACCCAGACAAUCUGAGCAUAUGCUCACUGCUUGAGCUAUUCUCCUCCAUAUUUUAGCUAUAGAACUUGCUGGAGACUUCAUAUCUCUCAACUCGGGUAUUUUCUUGAAAUAUUUAACUUCAACUCCUAGAACAUCUCAUAUGGUCCAUGAAGUUCAAAACGUCUUUGAAGUCCCGAUUCAAAUCUGUUAAGCAUGGUGCACUAAACUAUCAAGUAGUCAUCAUAUUGAGCUAGCCAAACAUUCAUAACGUCGGCAUCUGCUCCUGCAAUAGGUGUGUCACCUAGCAGUGCAUCAAGGACAUAAUUCUUCUGUGCAGCAAUGAGGUUAAUCCUCAGAUCACGGAUCCAAUCCGCAUCAUUGCUACUAACAUUUUUCAACAUAGUUUUCUCUAGGAAUAUAUAAAAAAUUAAACGGGGAGCAAUAUCGCGAGCAAUUGAUCUACAACAUAGAUAUGCUAAUACUACCAGGACUAAGUUCAUGAUAAAUUAAAGUUCAAUUAAUCAUAUUACUUAAGAAAUCCCACUUAGAUAGACAUCCCUCUAAUCCUCUAAGUGAUCACGUGAUCCAAAUCAACUAAACCAUGUCCAAUCAUCACGUGAGAUGGAGUAGUUUCAAUGAUGAACAUCACUAUGUUGAUCAUAUCUACUAUAUGAUUCACGCUCGACCUUUUGGUCUCUGUGUUCCGAGGCCAUAUCUGUGAUAUGCUAGGCCCAUCAAGUUUAACCUGAGUAUUCCGCGUGUACAACUAUUUUGCACCCGUUGUAUUUGAAUGUAGAGCCUAUCACACCUGAUCAUCACGUGGUGUCUCAGCAUGAAGAACUUCCGCAACGGUGCAUACUCAGGGAGAACACUUAUACUUUGAUAAUUUAGUGAGGGAUCAUCUUAUAAUGGUACCGUCAAUCAAAGCAAGAUAAGAUGCAUAAAAGAUAAACAUAACAUGCAAUCAAUAUAAGUGAUAUGAUAUGGCCAUCAUCAUCUUGUGUUUGUGAUCUCCAUCUCCGAAGCACCUCCAUGAUCACCAUCAUCACCGGCGCGGCACCAUGAUCUCCAUCGUAGCAUCGUUGUCGUCUCGCCAAUCUUAUGCUUCCAUGACUAUCGCUACUGCUUAGUGAUAAAGUAAAGCAUUACAGGGCGAUUGCAUUGCAUACAAUAAAACGACAACCAUAUGGCUCCUGCCAGUUGCUGAUAACUCGGUUACAAAAGAUGAUCAUCUCAUACAAUAAAAUUUAGCAUCAUGUCUUGACCAUAUCAGAUCACAACAUGCCCUGUGUGACGCCCGGAUAUUUAAGCUACAUUAAAUUCUCUGCUAAUGACGCCACGUCACUUCGAUUACUAUUGCUAAUCUCACGUUAGUUCGAAACCGAUUCUAAUUCAAAUUUAAAAAUAUGGCAAACAAUAAAAGUUUUCAAAAGGUCAAAACUAAAAUGUUCUUGUUCUGACAAAUAAUUCACAAGAUAUAUUGGUGGAGAAAACUAGUUUUUAUAAAAUGUUUAAAUGCACUAAACUAAUUAAAUUAGUAGCUAUAACCAAUAAUCAAAUGCUUUUUGUUACAUAUAAAAUACUAAACUAAAUUAUUUGGGAGCCCAAGUUAUUGUGGCAUUAGCAUAUGUAGUAACACUAUUUUUAGGAACAAGUUAUAUAUUUUACAAAACUAGAAUAAAUAGAAUAUAAAAUAAAACUGUAAAAAGGAAGAGUAAAACAAAAUAAGAAAAAAAAGAGAACGAAGAGACCCCUGACUUCCCCUGGGCCUCAGCCCACUCCCACCAGUCGGCCCAUCUAUUCCCCAUAACCACCCCCCUCCGUGACCUAAACCGCUACCCCCCCCCCACUACACACGCACUCCCNNNNNNNNNNNNNNNNNNNNNNNNNNNNNNNNNNNNNNNNNNNNNNNNNNNNNNNNNNNNNNNNNNNNNNNNNNNNNNNNNNNNNNNNNNNNNNNNNNNNNNNNNNNNNNNNNNNNNNNNNNNNNNNNNNNNNNNNNNNNNNNNNNNNNNNNNNNNNNNNNNNNNNNNNNNNNNNNNNNNNNNNNNNNNNNNNNNNNNNNNNNNNNNNNNNNNNNNNNNNNNNNNNNNNNNNNNNNNNNNNNNNNNNNNNNNNNNNNNNNNNNNNNNNNNNNNNGGGGCAACGCCCCCGACACCGCUCGUGACCCACCCCGCCGCGCCUCCGUCCUCCUCCUCGGCGUCACCUCGUCGGCGCCGCCUCACCACCUCCACCUCGCCGACGCCGCUUCGUCGCCGGACCACCUCGGUCACCCCGUCGCCGCUCGGAUCGUCGCCCUGCUGCUCGUCCUCAUCUCCCUCCUCACCGGACACCAUGGACGCGCGCCGCUCCGCCACGACACAAACGCCUUGACCUCGUCGUCGUCCUCAUCCUCCUCGAGCCCGCUGCCACUCCCCUACAUCGCCCGUGAGCACCUCCCCCCAUCCCCGUUCGCGUGCGCCGUCCGCCCCCCCGGCCUCUCCUUCUCUCCCAGUCCCCGUGGCCUGCUCCGACCGCUCGUCCCUCGCGUUGCCCGCGCCCCUCGCCCUACGACGCCGCUGCUUUGCUUGGCCCCGCGUCGGCCCGCCUCCCAUGCUCGCCGGCCCCCUACCUCGCGCGCGGCAUCGCACGCUCACGCCGCGCGCUCCGGCCACCGCCAACAUCACCGCCCGCCCGCGCCUGUCUCUUGCGCCGGCCGUCUUCGCCCCUGCCGCGUCGCCCGCAUCUGCCCCCUGGCCGCUCACCGCCGUGCGCGUGCAUCAGCGCUUGGACGCGCCCCAGCUCGCCGGCGCGCGCCCACGCCCCACCGCACGCCCCUGCUCCCCUCGUCCCGCUUAGGCCGCGACCAUCGCCGUCGGCGCCAAGCUGCGCAGCCCGCGCCCGUGGCCGUUUCGCCUGUACACCCGAAUGGUCAACUGGGUCCCUCUAGCCCACCUGUCGGUCAUUGGGUACACUUUUGUGUACACUGUGCUGGGUGCGCCUAGCAAUUUAGCAAUUAUUUUCGAAUUAAAAAUAAUUAAUAAAAUUAAUAAAAUCUUUAGAAAAUCAUAUCUUUUAAUCCAUAGCUCGGAUGAAAAAACUUUGUACAUGAAAGUUGGUCAGAACGACGAGGCGAAUCCGGAUACGCAACCCGUUCAUCUGCCACGCAUCCCUACCAUAGCAAACACGCAGCUUUCCCCCUCCGGUUCGUUUGUCUGAAAACGCGAAACACCGUGGAUAAUUUAUCGGAUGUUUCCCCCCUUCACCGGUACCACCUCGUACCGCGUUAGGGCACACAUAGCUUUACGCUUUGCCAUGUCAUGCAUCGUCAUGCAUUUGUUUGCAUUAUAUUUAUUGUUUCUCCCCCCUCUCCUCUCGCUAGACACCGAGACCGACGCCGCUGCUACCCAGUACGACUACGGAGUUGACGACCCCUCUCUCUUGCCAGAGCAACCAGGCAAGCCCCCCCUCCCCUUGAUCACCAGAUAUCGCCUACUCUCCUCUAUAAUGCUUUGAUUAGAGUAGUGUAGCAUGUUACUGCUUUCCGUUAAUCCUAUCCUAAUGCAUAGUCUAUCCUUGCUACUACUGCCGUUACCUUUACCUGCAAUCCUAAUGCUUAGUAUAGGAUGCUAGUUUAUCAUUAGUGGCCAUACAUUCUUGGCCGUCUGCCAUGCUAUACUAUCGGGCCGCGAUCACUCAGGAGUUGAUCACGGGUAUAUACAUAUACAUAAUAUAUGAAACUUGUGUUGACUAAAGACGGGUCGGCUCAUAGGAGUACCCGCGAGUGAUUCACGGAUUGGGUCCAAAAGGACGUUUGUCCCGACGGCCCUCUGAGUGGAACUUUGUGGCAAAGCAAUAUGGCAGGUUGAGACCACCUAGGAGAGAGGUGGGCCUGGCCCUGGUCGGCGUUCGCGGUUAUUUCAAAAUAACACGUUUAACGAGAUCUUGGUAUUUGAUCUGAGUCUGGCUACUGGCCUAUACGCACAAACCAUCUACGCGGAGACAGUUAUGGGCACUCAACGUCGUGGUAUCAGCCGAAGCCUUCGUGAUGUCAGCGACUGAGCGGCGCGCGCCGGAUUGGAACGUAAGCCUGCUCUUGUAUUAAGGGGGCUAGUUCUGCUUCCGGCCACCCUCGCAACAUGCAGGUGUGCAAUGGGCGAUGGGCCCAUAACCCUGCGCCAUAGGAUUUAGACCGGCGUGCUGACCUUUCUGUUGUGCCUAGGUAGGGCUGCGACGUGUUGAUCUUCCGAGGCCGGGCAUGACCCAAGAAAGUGUGUCCGGCCAAAUGGGAUCGAGCGUGUUGGGUUAUGUGGUGCACCCCUGUAGGGAAGUUAAUCUAUUCGAAUAGCCGCGAUCUUCGGUAACAGGACGACUUGGAGUUGUACCUUGACCUUAUGACAACUAGAACCGGAUACUUAAUAAAACACACCCUUCCAAGUGCCAGAUACAACCGGUGAUCUCUUUCUCAUAGGGCGACGAGGGGAGGAUCAUCGGUUAGGAUUAUGCUACAUGUUGCACCCUGGUGAACUUACCAUCUACUCUCUUCUCCUACUUCAAGAUGGAGGUUACCAGAAGCGUAGUCUUCGAAAGGACUAGCUAUCCCCCUCUUAUUCCAGCAUUCUGCAGUUCAGUCCACAUAUGAUACAUAUGUAGUGUAGCUCUUUGCUUGCGAGUACUUUGGAUGAGUACUCACGGUUGCCUUUCUCCCCCUUUUUCCCCUUUCCUAUACCCGUUUGCUUCGACCAAACAUUGGAGUCCAAGAGCCAGACGCCACUGUCGAUGACGACUACUACUACUCGGGGGGUGCCUACUACUACGUGCAGCCCGCUGGCGACGACCAGGAGUAGUUUAGGAGGAUCCCAGGUAGGAGACCUGCGCCUCUUUCGAUCUGUAUCCCAGUUUGUGCUAGCCUUGUUAAGGCAUUCUUGUUUAACUUAUGUCUGUACUCAGAUAUUGUUGCUUCCGCUGACUCGUCUAUGAUCGAGCUCUUGUAUUCGAGCCCUCGAGGCCCCUGGCUUGUAAUAUGAUGCUUGUAUGACUUAUUUUUAUUUGUAGAGUUGUGUUGUGAUAUCUUCCCGUGAGUCCCUGAUCUUGAUCAUACACGUUUGCGUGUAUGAUUAGUGUAUGAUUGAAUCGGGGGCGUCACAAGUUGGUAUCAGAGCCGACUGCCUGUAGGAAUCCCUCUUUCCAACUCCUUGGCUGAAGUCGAGUCUAGUCAUUGAAUUUUUUACUAACAUGGAUGUGUGGCUUACGGGCCCACGUCGCCAUUGGGUGGUAUUAGGAUCUUUUACUCCUUGUCUAUACUAUGGGACUCUGAUCUCUCUUCUAUUCGUGUUAAAUGAAUUUUGCUAAAUCUAACAUUAGGAUCUCGUUAUCACUUUCACCCAGAAAGCCCCUUAUUACUGAUGAUCAUCUGCUGCACGUGAAGACCCUGAAGAUACUCUCCGCUGUUAACUGAGAACUUGUGUUCAUCACGUUUGCAAUUCCUAUUCCACCGUCAACCCUUAUGGAUAACUACUUGUAGUUGUUAUUCUUACAUUCAUCCCCAGUUGGUCUUGUUAUUACAAGAUACCCCGAAAUACUCGUCAUUGUUUCGAUAAUCCUUUGAGCUUACUGCCUUGCUGUUCUUUGUCAUCUGAAUACGCCCAUGGAAAAUUCUCGCCCUUAUCGAGUAUCCGCUCAUCCCCCAAUUGUUCAUGUGUUUCACAAUGGUCUUUGAAAUACUAUUCGAUCCUCCAAAAUUCCUCAGUAGCUUAUUGCUCUGCAAUACUUGUCUGCUUGCAUUAUGGAUGCUUUCCAUAUGUCUGGCAAUAUUCGUUAGUAUCCUUAGACACCGUGAUUUUGAUCCUAUUGAUUCAACAUGAGUGCGAAUGCACGCAAUCAUCAGUUGAACCUUUUAAAUUAUCUUUCUGGCUCAGACUGAGCUGGUUCUCAACCAAUCCAAUUGUCGUCCAUUGUACCCCUAAGGCUAUUCAACUUAUCCAUCCCUAAUCAGAACAUUGCUUCUGAUCCCUUGAUUUGAAAAUCAUAAUUCCUUUGCAUUUGAGCUCUGGAUUAGUCAGUUGUUUCCAUAAUCCAAUGCCUUUGCAUUGUUACUUCCUCUGGUUGUGUGUCGAUGCUCACGUCAGCUCUGUUAUGGACCGGCAGAUCCUUUAAUGGAUUUUAUCCAAUAGCGUCCUUCAUAUUCAAUAACGUUGUGAGCCUCCCCUCGGAUACAUAAUGCCUUUGGUAAAUUGUAUCAUCUACUUUCUCAACCUUGCUCUACUUUUGAGCUUGUUAUAUUUACUCUUGAAACUUGUGGUAUAUGUUUCUAAGAAGCCCCUAUGGGUUGAACAUAUGCCUUCUCUAAACUAUGUGAACUCGAAAGUUUUCACAAGUCCUACACUUCUGGUAUUUUGCUAGAUGAAAUUUCAACACUACAACUUCUUCGAAAGUGACAAGUGAAUGAAAGGUUAUGCAUUGGAGAAGUGGGAAUCGACCUUGAACUUUGUGUUCAUGCCCAUGGACACGAUGUAGAUCUUAUCAUUAAAGCUUCUUUCAAAUUAAAUUAUUCCUUUGGUAUAAGUUCAUCUUAUAUCCGGGAUCUGGCCUUUUGCAAUCGUGGUUCCGACCAUGUUCUCCUUUAAAUACCAUUUCACGUGCAAGUUUGAGAACUUGUCUUCUGCAGAGCAUUACCCUAUUCCAACCUCUACUAUGACUUGUCGUCGAGUAUUACCCCCUGGUAUCUUGAGAUUAUCAUGGAACUACAUAUUUCUUAUGAGUUCUUCAUCAAGUGCUACAUUCUCACUGAUUCCAAUUUUUCACGGGCUCUGAGUUAUUAAACACUCAAAGACACCGAUAACUGACUGAAGUCUGCACCGCGAUUAAACAAAUCAUGGUAACCUUCAUGACUUAUUAGUUUGAACUCGAUCACGUCAUUCCUAGCCUGCUUGGCUAUAUCCUUGUCAUGCCGAUUUUAACUGUGCUACCUGGUCCUUCCUAGAGCAAAAAUUUCGAGGUGAGCUAAUCUUACGUCGAUCUUCCUCGUCAUAACAAUUGUCCUUGAAUGACAAGCUUGAUUUCAAGUUUGUGUCGUACCUAUGGUUUCAAUGACUUCUCGCUUCAUCAUUCCGUUAACUUGAUGUCAUCGCCGAUCGGUUACAUCUUCUUGAAACCUCUCAACAAAAUGUGUCGUGAUCAUCAUCAACAUUUUGACCCCUUCCAAGAUAUCAAUUGAAUUCAUGAUGAGAAUUACCCUCCUUGCCCUCGAUGGUUUGUGUUAUCAUCGACCACUUUAUUGCCUUCCGUUCAACACAAACUUGUUCGUGUUUCUAGCAACCCUAUUGCUUUCAAGUUAAUGGUCGAUAUUUCAUUCUUAGACUAUUGCUUGUUGAAUCACCUUUCUAACAUUGAUGAUGCUACCUAAGACCAUAUUUUGGGUCCACUUUUCAACCAAUGCUUAAUUGUGUAUGUUUUCCUCGAGCAUACAUCCUUAUAUCAUUUGAUCCGACAAAUGUUAUCUCCUUGUUCACAUAAGUGCGGAAAUCCAUCUUUUGAAAAUCUCAACGAAUUGUCGCUGAGUUCAUUAGCCACCUCUUCAUUCUCCCCUUGGUUUUAAUGAUGAACUCUUGUUUUGGAACUCGCUUCCAUAGUACAUUUCCCGAGAAUCUUACAUUGUCGUCUCGUCAAUUGUGCUGCACCUUUUCUUCUCAGGCAUCCUGAGUUUGAGGCAUCCUGGCACCAAUCAGAUCUGAAUCUCAGUCAGAUAUGAUGGUUGGAACAUAUUUCCAAGAGUUAUUACAUUGGUCCUGAUAUAUCGGUAAGGUGGGGUCAUGCCUAUCACACCUGGCGAGAGGACUUGUUGUUAUAGAUUCCUUUUCAGCAAGGUUAUCCCUUCUUCCAUUAGGGAAUUGUGAGACCUAUUCUUCAAGUUAUUCCUGAUGGAUCCUUUGUGUCUCCAGAGUCUGAUCUUCACCCAUUGACCAUGUCAAUGCUAUCUCGAGGCAUGUCUGAGGUACUCCGAUUUUCAAAGAGAACAUUUGAAGCCCAAUGCUAAAUGUUUCCUGCUCAAUUACCCAAACACCACUGUAUGGGUAAUGUCAUGAAAUCCCCCCCUUACCUAAAUGGUUUUCUACAUUAUAUCAUGUCAAGGAAAUCAUGCUUUGCUUGUCCUUGGGAAGGAUAUACCCCUAAAAUAUGUGUUUAAACACAUUUUCCUUUCCAUUGUUUGGUUUAAUCUUUCUUGUGAUAUAUAUGAUCUAAGUAGUAAUAUUCUCCUACUUUUGUAAGCACCUCCGUGUACAACUCUGUUGGUAAGAACCUGUUACUAUUGUUGACAACAUUCCGGUAUCCACCGAUGGACGAGAACUUUGCCUAUUGGUCUGCCUCGUUUCAACGAGCAGGAGAACGGUUCUCUUCGUCCCUCGCCCUUGGUACCGAUGUUGUUGCCAACAUAACUGAUAGGCUAUCCUCUGACAUGCCUUUGUUAUCAUGACUGUACAAGAUAUCACCGCCCUUUCUACUUUUAACCUACAUGGUGGGCCCAUAACCCACAGUUCCAUAGGAUCGAAACCUGACUCUCCUGUACACCCUGUUGUCCAAGUUAUUCCUCGCGCUUGACUUCGUAUAUGAUUCACGGGCCACAUGCCUAGUGAUCUAUUCUGGUAUCAGACACAAAACUUAUUCCCAUUGCUCUGGAACCCUUUUUUCACUUUGUUUCAGGUAUCGAACGAUUGCCUACCCGCUUCAAACUCAUCGUGGUAACUUCUUUCUUUGCUCUCGAUGUUUUCUUAAGUUUCAGUUCGAGAGUUAAUUUUCGCCACCUUCCCCAAUGUUAGCUACCAGAUAAUCAACCUUGCAGAGGUCCGUUCUCCUGGAAUAACCCUGCCUUAUUGUAUCAUAAGUACGAUGGAGUUCUCGAAGAAAGGAUGCCAACUUCAUCAUUAUGACCAGAAGCAAAGAAUUGAAGACAACAACGAAAGGGAUUAACUUCUUCGAGAAGAACAGCCAAGACCGAGAAGACCCGCUAGAUUUGUUACCAAACCUUCCCCCUCUUUCGCUACCUCUUAAAUCUCGGGACGAGAUUUCUUGUAGUGGAGGAGAAUUGUGACGCCCGGAUAUUUAAGCUACAGUAAAUUAUCUGCUAAUGACGCCACGUCACUUCGAUUACUAUUGCUAAUCUCACGUUAAUUCGAAACCGAUUCUAAUUCAAAUUUAAAAAUAUGGAAAGCAACAAAAGUUUUCAAAAGGUCAAAACUAAAAUGUUCUUGUUCUUACAAAUAAUUCACAAGAUAUAUUGGUGGAGAAAACAAGUUUUUAUAAAAUGUUUAAAUGCACUAAAAUAAUUAAAUUAGUAGCUAUAACCAAUAAUCAAAUGCUUUUUGUUACAUAUAAAAUACUAAACUAAAUUAUUUGGGAGCCCAAGUUAUUGUGGCAUUAGCAUAUGUAGUAACACUAUUUUUAGGAACAAGUUAUAUAUUUUACAAAACUAAAAUAAAUAGAAAAUAAAAUAAAACAGUAAAAAGGAAGAGUAAAACAAAAUAAGAAAGAAAAAAAGAGAACGAAGAGACCCAUGGCUUCCCCUGGGCCUCAGCCCACUCCCACCAGCCGGCCCACCUAUUCCCCAUAACCACCCCCCUCCGUGACCUAAACCACUACCCCCUCCACUACACACGCACUCCCCCCCCCACCCCUACUCCCCCGAUCCCCUUCUGGAUCGNNNNNNNNNNNNNNNNNNNNNNNNNNNNNNNNNNNNNNNNNNNNNNNNNNNNNNNNNNNNNNNNNNNNNNNNNNNNNNNNNNNNNNNNNNNNNNNNNNNNNNNNNNNNNNNNNNNNNNNNNNNNNNNNNNNNNNNNNNNNNNNNNNNNNNNNNNNNNNNNNNNNNNNNNNNNNNNNNNNNNNNNNNNNNNNNNNNNNNNNNNNNNNNNNNNNNNNNNNNNNNNNNNNNNNNNNNNNNNNNNNNNNNNNNNNNNNNNNNNNNNNNNNNNNNNNNNNNNNNNGAUCGGGGCAACGCCCCCGACUUCGCUCGUGACCCACCCCGCCACGCCUCCGUCUUCAUCCUCGGCGUCACCUCCUCGGCGCCGCCUCACCGCCUCCACCUCGCCGACGCCGCUUCGUUGCCGGACCGCCUCGGUCACCCCAUCGCCGCUCGGAUCGCCGAGCCGCUGCUCGUCCUCAUCUUCCUCCUCGCCGUACGGCGUGGACGCGCGCCGCUCCGCUGCGACACCAACGCCUCGACCUCGCCGUCGUCCCCGUCCUCCUCAAGACCGCUGCCACUCCCCUACAUCGCCCGUGAGCACCUCCCCCCGUCCCCGUUCGCGUGCGUCGUCCGCCCCCCGGCCUCUCCUUCUCUCCCUGUCCCCGUGGCCUGCUCCGGCCGGUCGUCCCUCGCGCUGCCCGCGCCCCUCGCCCUGCGACGCCGCUGCAUUGCCUGGACCCGCGUUGGCCUGCCUCCCAUGCUCGCUGGCCCCCUACCUCGCGCGCGGCGUCGCACGCUCACGCCGCGCGCUCCGGCCACCGCCAACCUCACCGCCCCGCCCGUGCCUGUCUCUUGCGCCGGCCGCCUUCGCCCCUGCCGCGUUGCCUGCAUCUGCCCCCUGGCCGCUCACCCCGUGCGCGUGCGCAUCCACGCUUGGACGCGCCCCAGCUCGCCGGCGCGCGCCCACGCCCCACCUCACACCCCUGCUCCCCUCGUCCCGCUCAGGCCGCGACCAUCGCCGCCGGCGCCAACUAAUUAACCUAAAACAACUAAUUAAGCCUAACUAAUUAACCUAAACCCUAAUUAACUAAAACAGUCAAUGACAGGGGGGUCGCACCCCUGUUGACGAGUCAAACGUUGACUGGUCAACUGGGUCCCUCUGGCCCACCAGUCAGUCACUAGGUACACUUUUGUGUACACUGUGCUGGGUGCGCCUAGCAAUUUAGCAAUUAUUUUUGAAUUAAAAAUAAUUUCAAAAAUUAAUAAAAUCUUUAGAAAAUCAUAUCAUUUAAUCCGUAGCUCGGAUGAAAAAACUCUGUACAUGAAAGUUGGUCAGAACGACGAGACGAAUCCGGAUACGCAACCGAUUCGUCCGCCACGCAUCCCUGGCAUAGCAAACACGCAACUUUCCCCCUCUGGUUCGUCUGUCCGAAAACGCGAAACACUGAGGGUAAUUUCCCGGAUGUUUCCCCCUUCAGUGGUACCACCUCGUACCGCGUUAGGGCACACCUAGCUUUACGCUUUGCCAUGUCAUGCAUCGUCAUGCAUUUGUUUGCAUUAUAUUUAUUGUUUCUCCCCCCCUCUCCUCUCGCUAGACACCGAGACCGACGCCGCUGCUACCCAGUACGACUACGGAGUUGACGACCCCUCUCUCUUGCAAGAGCAACCAGGCAAGCCCCCCCUUGAUCACCAGAUAUCGCCUACUCUCCUCUAUACUGCUUGCAUUAGAGUAGUGUAGCAUGUUACUGCUUUCCGUUAAUCCUAUCCUGAUGCAUAGCUUGUCCUUGCUACUACUGCUAUUACCUUUACCUGCAAUCCUAAUGCUUACUAUAGGAUGCUAGUUUAUCAUCAGUGGCCAGACAUUCUUGUCCGUCUGCCAUGCUAUACUAUCGGGCCGUGAUCACUCGGUAGUUGAUCACGGGUAUAUACAUAUACAUAAUAUAUGAUACUUGUGUUGACUAAAGACGGUCGGCUAUUAGGAGUACCCGCGAGUGAUUCACGGAUUGGGUCCGAAAGGACGUUUGUCCUGACGGCCCUCUGAGUGGAUCUUUGUGGCGAAGCGACAGGGCAGGUUGAGACCACCUAGGAGAGAGGUGGGCCUGGCCCUGGUCGGCAUUUGCAGUUAUUUCAAAAUAACACGUUUAAUGAGAUCUUGGUAUUUGAUCUGAGUCUGGCUACUGGCCUAUAUGCACUAACCAUCUACGCCGGGACAGUUAUGGGCACUCAACGUCGUGGUAUCAGCCGAAGCCUUCGUGACGUCAGCGACUGAGCGGCGCGCGUCAGAUUGGAACGUAAGCCUGCUCUUGUAUUAAGGGGGCUAGUUCUGCUUCCGGCCGCCCUCGCAACAUGUUGGUGUGCAAUGGGCGAUCGGCCCAGACCCCUGCGCCAUAGGAUUUAGACCGGCGUGCUGACCUCUCUAUUGUCCCUAGGUAGGGCUGCGACGUGUUGAUCUUCCGAGGCCGGGCAUGACCCAGGAAAGUGUGUCCGGCCAAAUGGGAUCGAGCGUGUUGGGUUAUGUGGUGCACCCCUACAGGGAAGUUAAUCUAUUCGAAUAGUCGUGAUCUUCGGUAACAGGACGACUUGGAGUUGUACCUUGACCUUAUGACAACUAGAACCGGAUACUUAAUAAAACACACCCUUCCAAGUGCCAGAUACAACCGGUGAUCUCUUUCUCACUGGGUGACGAGGGGAGGAUCAUCAGUUAGGAUUAUGCUACACGUUGCACCCUGGUGAACUUACCAUCUACUCUCUUCUCCUGCUUCAAGAUAGAGGUUACCAGAAGCGUAGUCUUCGAAAGGACUAGCUAUCCCCCUCUUAUUCCAGCAUUCUGCUGUUCAGUCCACAUAUGAUACCCUUAAUCCAUUUGAUACCAAUGCAUACAUAUGUAGUGUAGCUCCUUGCUUGCGAGUACUUUGGAUGAGUACUCACGGUUGCUUUUCUCCCCCUUUUCCCCCUUUCCUAUACCCAUUUGCUGCGACUAGACAUGGGAGUCCAAGAGCCAGAUGCCACUAUCGAUGAUGACUACUACUACUCGAGAGGUGCCUACUACUACGUGCAGCCCGCUGGCGACGACCAGGAGUAGUUUAGGAGGAUCCCAGACAGGAGACCUGCGCCUCUUUCGAUCUGUAUCCCAGUUUGUGCUAGCCUUGUUAAGGCAUUCUUGUUUUACUUAUGUCUGUACUCAGAUAUUGUUGCUUCCGCUGACUCAUCUAUGAUCGAGCUCUUGUAUUCGAGCCCUCGAGGCCCCUGGCUUGUAAUAUGAUGCUUGUAUGACUUAUUUUUAUUUGUAGAGUUGUGUUGUGAUAUCUUCCCGUGAGUCCCUGAUCUUGAUCGUACACGUUUGCGUGUAUGAUUAGUGUACGAUUGAAUCGGGGGCGUCACACCCUGCAAAAACAAGUUAGACGUCCUCUACUUUGUUGUUGCAAGUUUUACGUGGCUGCUAUGGGCUUAGAAAGAACCGUUCUUACCUACGCAUCAAAACCACAACGAUAGUUUGUCAAGUUGGUGUUGUUUUAACCUUCGCAAGGACCGGGCGUACCCACACUCGGUUCAACUAAAGUUGGAGAAACUGACACCCGGCAGCCACCGAUGUGCAAAGCACAUUGGUAGAACCAGUCUCGCGUAAGCGUAUACGUAAUGUCGGUCCAGGCCGCUUCAUCCAACAAUACCGCCGAACCAAAGUAUGACAUGCUGGUAAGCAGUAUGACUUAUAUCGCCCACAACUCACUUGUGUUCUACUCAUGCAUAUGACAUCUACGCAUAAAAGCAGGCUCGGAUGCCACUGUUGGUGUCACAUCCCUAGUCUGGUAUGACCUAGACUAGCUAGUCAUUGGUGCAUCAUGUUUAAAUCUCAUUUAAAUUUGAAAUGAGGAUUGGUGGAACCCUCAGAAUCAUUUUUGAAAAUGACCCAAAUAAAAAUUUCUCCAAAAGGGUCCAAGAAAAUGCUCAUGUUGCUCUCUGAAAUAUUGGACAGAGAUAAAAAUCAAACCAAUAUUUUUAGGAGCUCAUAGGUAUUUAUUUUGGGCAUUUGGAUUAAUCCGAUAAAUAUUUUCAUUGGAAAUAUAUUAGUUAUAUGUAUUAAUAUAUGUCCAAAAAUUAUGCCAUUUAUAAGGUAGCUCUGGAUUAAUAUAACUAGCUUCCAUAAAAAAUGGCAUAAGUAAAUAAAUUGAUUUAGUAUUAUUACUAAAUCAGAACAAAUGUCAGAAAAUUUAGAAAAAGAAAUAAACAGGAAAACCUUACCUGGGCUUCUGCCUGGCGCCUCUGGCCCAGCAGCAGCAGGCCGGCCCAGCCAGCAGGCGGCCCAGGCCACCUCCUCCUCUGUCGUCUUCGUCCUCGACAGAGGGAGGGGAGCGUGCCCGGCGUGCGCGCGCGCCACCGCGCCACGCCACCUCCCUCCCUGCCUGCCUGCCUCUCCCCUCCUCGUCUGAAUGCCCUGGAACGACGCCACGCGCCACCCCGACCUCUCUCGCACUCUCCCUCGCCCUCCUUCUCUCCCCCUGCUCUCUCUCUCUCCCCCGAGAAUCACCACCGCCGCCGACGAGCAUCACCGUAGCCACCGCCUCCCCCUCGCCUCCCCGACACGCUCCCCAGAUCCGCCGCGACCCCCUCUACCUCCUCGUCGAGCCACGCAAGACGGAGCACCCCGUGGAGCCGUCGCCGUCGCCAACUUCGCCUCCGGCCGCCGUGGAUCCUCGCCGUCGAUUCGGGAGCUACCGGGCAUCCCCGACCUCGCCCUCGCGCUCGCUGGUCUCGAUGUGAGCCCCCGCACCGAACCCCCUCCUCCCCGUGCUCGUUUUCCCCGUCUAGCUAGCUCAACCACCGCGCCCGUAAGUUCCUCGCCGCCGGCCAUGGCGCCACGGUGGCAUGAGCCCAAGCCAGCCACUCCCGCGCGCGUCACCGUGUUCCUGGUGACGCCAGGAGGCCGUAGGAGCCCUCCGCUUCCACUGCCGUGCACCACAACACCGCGGCCGCAAGUCGCCGAGCUCCGGCCGCCGCCGCGAGCUUUGCUCCGGCGAGCUCCGGCGCCCCCGCAGCCCCUCACCAGCUCCCCUGGUUGCGGACGACGACGGGCUACGCCCCGGUGGUCUUCGCGCGACCAAACGCCGCUUGUAGCGCAAGUCCGGCGAGUCGCCGCCGCGCUAUUGGUCGCCGCCGGCCAGAACUCCGGCGGGCUGACGUGGCUCUGUUAAUUAGGCACUAAUCCCCACCUACUGACGCUGACGAGUGGGCCCAGGGCUUAGUCAAAGCUAAUCAGCCAGGUUUGACUCGGGGUUAACCCCAGUGUCACUGACGUGUGGACCCCACACGUCAGGUUUGACCCUGGACAGCCGCGUUGACCCGCUGAUGUAGUGAUGACGUCAUGCUGGCGCAAUAAUAUGAUUUCUGGAUUUAAAUUAAUCAGGAAAUUCGAGAAAUUGAUUUAAACUUCAAAAAUUCAUAGAAAUUCAACCGUAGCUCAGAUUAAAAUAAUUUAUAUAUGAAAAAUUAUCAGAAAAAUGCAAUCUUUCCAUAUGUACUAGUUUCAUGCAUGAAAAACCAACUUAUACAUGCUGUAUAUGAGAAAACACAUUAUGGCAUAUAUAGGAGCUUAUCCUGGAGAUGCAUUUGAACCUUUGGUUCAAAUGGACUUCAAACCAAAUGAUUUCUAGUUGCAUUAGCUCAAACAACAUCACAUCUUUAUGCCAUGUUCAUGCAUCAUAUUGUUGCAUAUGUUUGUGUAUUGAUUGCUGGCACCGUUCCUUCUCGAUAGGUCUUGCUCCGGAGACCGUUCCAGAGUACCUGUCUGUGAAGCAGUGCCUCCUCUGUUGAUUACCAGGCAAGCAAACCCCCUUGUUCAUUCCGAUACAAUCCUACUCUCUCGCUCCUGCUCUCAGUUAUUGCAUUAGGACAACAGCGAUUCAUCUGCUACUUUGUGCUGCGGUAGUUGAACCCAUUCCUCUGCAUGACCUGUCAUUGCCACAGUAAAUAGUUGAAACCCACUAGCAUGUGUAGGAGUUGAUUGAAGCCACUGAUGUGUUCCUACCAUGCUAUGCCUGCUAUUGCUUAGAGUUGUGUCAGGUCUGAUUCAUUGGGAAUGAAUUGGAGUGUUACGAUAUGUUCUGGUGCUGAGAGUUAAGUGUGUGAACACGAUUUGGUAAAGGUAGCGGUGAGAGGCCAUGUAGGAGUACAUGGUGGGUUGUCUCACUGGAUCCGUCCUUAAGCACUGAGUUCUAUGUAUGUUGUCCAAUGACUCGAUACUACCACACAUUGGGCUCCGGGCGCUCCAAGCCCUCUCGACUUAUUAACCAACUUGAUCUCUGUCCAGGAGUCGCAACUAGUUUCUGGUGUUUGUAGGUAGUGUUAGUAGUCUACCAAGUGGCACCCGGCCAGGUGGGCUUGGGAUAGACUAGGCACAAGUGGCACGGUGUACCAAGCAUAGAUCCAUCCGGCGAUGUGGGCUUGGGAACCCUGCACACAUUGUUUGGGGCCGUGAGUGAAACCCCGGCCAGAUCUCCUUGCGGAUGGAACCCGAAUAGGCGAUAAACCUGGAUUAGAGUCUUGUGUGGUUAGUCAGGUCGUGGCCGACACCCUCGCCAGGCUUCCGCUUGAAGGUUGCCGAGAUACAUGACGUGUACAUGGCGGUAAGUGGCGAGAGCGUGUGUGAAGAAGUACACCCCUGCAGGGUUAACAUGAUCUAUUCGAAUAGCCGGGUCCGCGGUUAUGGACUUCUUGGAUGCUUACAUGGUACAUAGACAACUUGAAGUGGAUACCCUAAAAUGCUCAAGACAAGUGUGAGUGCUAUGGAUGGCCUUCUCGUAGGGAGACGGGGAUGAAUCCAUAGUAGUGUAUUGUGUGGUGAUUAGUGGACUCGUGUGCGCCAUAUCACCUCAAGAGUUUCUGGUGGUCAUAGAACAGGAUAGCCACAGAGUCAAAGCUGGCUUGCUCCAACUAAACCCCACAUUACCCUCUUGAUACAAAUGCAUGUAUGAUAGGAUCUGAUGUAAGUCUUGCUGAGUACCUUUGUACUCAUGUUGCUUUAUUUAUGUUUUUGCAGUGGAGACUUCGGUCUUACUAGUGUUCUCAUGGACUUCGACUAGUAGCUAGUACCUCAGCUACGAUCUUGAUCGGAUGUUGUAGACAGUCAGGCUUUCAGCCUUUUUCAUUUAUAGAUGUCUGUACUCAGACAUGUAAUGCUUCCGUUUGUUGCUUGAUUGCUCUGACUGUUGGGUCAUGUGACCCCUGUUUGUAAUAAUGCUAUGAUGGCUCUUCUGAGCCUUUAUCUAUAUGAGUUGUUGAGUUAUGCUGUGAUGCCAUGUUGUACAGCACAUGCUUGCAUGUUAUGCGUACGUGUAAUGUGUAUUGCUAUGUGUGGGAUCUGACUAUCUAGUUGUUUAUCCUUAGUAGUCUCUCUUACCGGGAAAUGUCUCCUAGUGCUUCCACUGAGCCCUGGUAGCUUGUUACUGCUCCGGAACACUUAGGCUGGCCGGCAUGUGUCCUUCUUCGUUCCUGUGUCUAUCCCCUCGGGGAAAUGUCACGCGAUGAAUACCGGAGCCCUGUUAGCCCGCUACAGCCCGGUUCACCGGAGUCCUGUUAGCCCAGUGCUACAGUCUGGAUUCACUCGCUGAUGACCGACACGUUCGAUGUUGGGUCAUGGAUGCCUGUCCCUGUAAGUUAGUGCCACUUUGGGUUUACGACUAGCCAUGUCAGCCCGGGCUCCUUAUCAUAUGGAUGCUAGAGACACUGUCAUAUUCGUGUGUCAAAAGGCGCAAACGGUCUCGGGCAAAGGUAAGGCGACACCCGUGGGGAUACCGUGCGUGAGGCCGCAAAGUGAUAUGAGGUGCUACAUGCUAGAUCGAUGUGGCAUUGAGUCGGGGUCCUGACAGUUGGGGAACGUAGUAAUUUCAAAAAAAAUCCUACGCACACGCAAGAUCAUGGUGAUGCAUAGCAAUGAGAGGGGAGAGUGUUGUGUACGUACCCUUGUAGACUGAAAGCGGAAGCGUUAGCACAACAUGGUUGAUGUAGCCGUACGUCUUCACGAUCCGACCGAUCAAGUACCGAACGUACGGCACCUUCGAGUUCACCACAUGUUCAGCCCGAUGACGUCCCUCGAACUCCAAUCCAGCCGAGUGUUGAGGGAGAGUUUCGUCAGCACGAUGGUGUGGUGAUGAUGUUGAUGUUCUACUGACGCAGGGCUUCGCCUAAGCACCGCUACAGUAUUAUCAAGGUGGACUUUUGGUGGAGGGGGGCACCGCACACGGCUAAGAGAUCAAUGAUCUGAAGUUGUGUCACUAGGGUGCCCCCCUGCCCCUGUAUAUAAAGGAGCAAGGGGGUGCGGCCGGCCAGGGCUAGGCGCGCUAGGAGGAGUCCUACUCCCACCGGGAGUAGGACUCCCCCCCCCCUGAGGGAGUCCUGGAUUAGGGGGUGUUCGGAUAGCCGAACUAUACCCGUGUCUAGAAGGGACUUUCCUUGGCGUGGAAGGCAAGCUUGGCGAUACGGAUGUUCAGAUCUGCUACCAUUGUAACCGACUCUAUGUAACCCUAACCCUCUCUGGUGUCUAUAUAAACCGGGGGGGGGGGGGUUUAGUCCAUAGGACAACAUACACAUCAACAAUCAUACAAUAGGCUAGCUUCUAGGGUUUAGCCUCUCUGAUCUCGUGGUAGAUCUACUCUUGUACUACCCAUAUCAUCAAUAUUAAUCAAGCAGGACGUUGGGUUUUACCUCCGUCGAGAGGGCCCGAACCUGGGUAACUCUUCGUGUCCCUUGCCUCCUAUUACCAUCCGGCCUAGACGCACAGUUCGGGACCCCCUACCCGAGAUCCGUCGGUUUUGACACUGACACCCCCUUUCCUAUUUGGAUUAGGACUUGAGGGGGAAGAAGGAAAGAGGGGGGCCGACCCCCUUGCCCUAAACCAAUUCGGUUUGGGCCUAGGGGGGCCGCCCCAUACUCCUCUUGCUGCCCUCCUUUUCCACUAACACCCAUGUAGGCCCAUUAAGCUCCCGGGGGGUUCCGGUAACCUCCCGGUAGUCCGGUAAAAUCCCAAUUUCACCCGGAACACUUCUGAUAUCCAAAUAUAGGCUUCCAAUAUAUCAAUCUUCAUGUCUUGACCAUUUCGAGACUCCUCAUCAUGUCCGUGAUCACAUCCGGGACUCCGAACAACCUUCGGUACAUCAAAACAUAUAAACUCACAAUAAAAUUGUCAUCGUAAUGUUAAGCCUGCGGACCCUAUGGGUUCGAGAACUAUGUAGACAUGACCGAGACACGUCUCCGAUAAAUAACCAAUAGCGGAACCUGGAUGCUCAUAUUGGCUCCUACAUAUUCUACGAAGAUCUUUAUCGGUCAAACCGCAUAACAACAUACGUUGUUCCCUUUGUCAUCAGUAUGUUACUUGCCCGAGAUUCGGUCGUCGAUAUCUCAAUACCUAGUUCAAUCUCGUUACCGGCAAGUCUCUUUACUCGUUCCGUAAUACAUCAUCCCGCAACUAACUCAUUAGUUGCAAUGCUUGCAAGGCUUAAGUGAUGUGCAUUACCAAGAGGGCCCAGAGAUAUCUCUCCGACAAUUAGAGUGACAAAUCCUAAUUUUGAAAUAUGCCAACCCAACAAGUACCUUCAGAGACACCUGUAGAGCACCUUUAUAAUCACCCAGUUACAUUGUGACGUUUGGUGGCACACAAAGUGUUCCUUCGGUAAAUGGGAGUUGCAUAAUCUCAUAGUCAUAGGAACAUUUAUAAAUCAUGAAGAAAGCAAUAGCAACAAACUAAACGAUCAAGUGCUAAGCUAAUGGAAUGGGUCAAGUUUAUCACAUCAUUCUCCUAAUGAUGUGAUUCCGUUAAUCAAAUGACAACUCAUGUCUAUGGUUAAGAAACUUAACCAUAUUUGAUCAACGAGCGAGUCAAGUAGAGGCAUACUAGUGACACUCUGUUUGUCUAUGUAUUCACACAUGUAUUAUGUUUCCGGUUAAUACAAUUCUAGCAUGAAUAAUAAACAUUUAUCAUGAUAUAAGGAAAUAAAUAAUAACUUUAUUAUUGCCUCUAGGGCAUAUUUCCUUCACUUGAAACUAGUGGUUUUAUUCACCAUCAACACUUGAUGUUCCUUUUUGAUUUCCUCCUCCGCUGAUUUCAGCAUUGAAUAUAACUCAGGAAUGGACUUCUCCAUCCCUUGCAUAUUGUAGUUCAUCACAAAGCUCUUAUAGCUAGGUGGAAGCGACUGGAGGAUCCUAUCAAUGAUAGAGUCAUCUGGUACAUUAACUCCAAGCUGAGACAAGCGGUUGUGCAACCCAGACAUUUAGAGUAUAUGCUUGCUGACAGAACUGUUUUCCUCCAUCUUACAACUGUAGAACUUGUCAGAGACUUCAUAUAUCUUGACCCAGUCAUGUGCUUGGAAAAUCAUUUUCAGCUGUUGGAACAUCUCAUAUGCUCCGUGCUGCUCAAAACGCUUUUGGAGCCCCGGUUCUAAGCUGUAAAGCAUGCCGCACUGAACCAGGGAGUAAUCAUCACUACACGACUGCUAGGCGUUCAUAACGUCUUGAGUUGCUGGGAAAAUGGGUGCGUCACCUAGCGGUGCUAUAAGGACAUAUGCUUUCUUGGCAGCUGUGAGGAUGAUCCUCAAGUUACGGACCUGAUACGUCUCCAUCGUAUCUACUUUUCCAAACACUUUUGCCCUUGUUUUGGACUCUAACUUGCAUGAUUUGAAUGGAACUAACCCAAACUGAUGUUGUUUUCAGCAGAAUUGCCAUGGUGUUAUUUAUGUGCAGAAACAAAAGUUCUCGGAAUGACCUGAAACUUCACGGAACAUCUUUUCGGAAAUAAUAAAAAAUCAUUGCAAAAGAUGAAGACGACGGGCCCACCACCUGUCCACGAGGGUGGAGGGCGCCCCCCUACCUCGUGGGCCCCCUCGAGCUCCUCCGACCUCAACUCCAACUCUAUAUGAUCUGGAGUCCGUUCGGGGCUCCGGAGAGGGGAAUCCGUCGGCAUCGUCAUCAUCAACCAUCCUCCAUCACCAAUUUCAUGAUGCUCACCGUCGUGUGUGAGUAAUUCCAUCGUAGGCUUGCUGGACGGUGAUGGGUUGGAUGAGAUCUAUCAUGUAAUCGAGUUAGUUUUGUUAGGGUUUGACCCCUAGUGUCCAGUAUGUUCUUAGAUUGUUGUUGCUAUGACUUUGCUAUGCUUUAUGAUUGCCACUAGGGCCCGAGUGCCAUGAUUUCAGAUCUGAACCUAUUGUGUUUUUAUCAAUAUAUGAGUGUUCUAGAUCCUAUCUUGCAAGUCUAUAGUCACCUACUAUGUGUUAUGAUCCGGCAACCCCGAAGUGACAAUAAUCGGACAACUCCCGGUGAUGACCAUAGUUUGAGGAGUUCAUGUAUUCACUAUGUGCUAAUGCUUUGUUCCGGUACUCUAUUAAAAAUAGGCCUUAAUAUCCCUUAGUUUCCAUUAGGACCCCACUGCCACGGGAGGGUAGGAUAAAAUAUGUCAUGCAAGUUCUUUUCCAUAAGCACGUAUGACUAUAUUCGGAAUACAUGCCUACAUUAUAUUAAUGAAUUGGAGCUAGUUCUGUGUCAACCUAUGUUAUGAUUGUUGCAUGAUGAACCGCAUCUGGCAUAAUUCUCCAUCAACGAUCCAUUGCCUACUAGCUUUCCACAUAUUGUUCUUCGCUUAUUUACUUUUCCAUUGCUAUUGCUAUCAUCACUACAAAAUACCAAAAACAUCACUUUUGCUAUGGUUACCUUUUGCUACCGUUACCACUACUAUCAUAUUACUUUGCUACUAAAUACUUUGCUGCAGAUACUAAGUUUCUAGUUGUGGCUGAAUUGACAACUCAGCUGCUAAUACUUGAGAAUAUUCUUUGGCUCCCCUUCUGUCGAAUCAAUAAAUUUGGGUUGAAUACUUUACCCUCGAAAACUGUUGCGAUCACCUAUACUUGUGGGUUAUCAAGACUAUUUUCUGGCGCCGUUGCCGGGGAGCAUAGCUUUGUUCUUUGAGUCACUUGAUAUUUAUAUAUGCUUAUCAUUAUGAAGAACUUGAGAGAUACAAAAACCAAGAUUUAUCCCUCAACUACGAGGGGAGGUAAGGAACUGCCAUCUAGCUCUGCACUUGAUUCACCUUCUGUUUUAGUAAGCUUUCGACACCUAAACCUGCUUCUGCUAUCCAUUCUGAUAUGUCUCAUGUUAUUGAUGAUGCCACUUCUGCUAUGAAUGAUACUUAUGAUGAAACUACUUCUAUGCUUGAUACUACUAUGCCACUUGGUGAAUUUCUUGAUGAACAACUUGCUAGGGUUAGAGAGACUAAGAAUAUUGAAUCUGAUAAUAUUAAUGCAAGUGAUGAUGAAGACUCUUCCCCUAAUAAUGAACCACUUGUUAUUCCUGAGGGUUAUUUAUUUGAUCAAGGAGCUUCUUUAGCUAUUUUAUCUUGCAAAGACAAAUAUGAACUUAAGAAGUUAUUAGCUAAAUGGAAUAAGCAAUCUCUAAAUACUAGAAUAAAACCUGACCCUGCUUUUGCUACUUCACCUAUCUUUGUUACCGAUAAGGAUUAUGAAUUCUCUGUUAAUCCUAAUAUAAUUACUUUGGUUGAAUCUUAUCCUUUUCAUGGCUAUGAAUUUGAAACUGUUGUGGCACAUCUUACUAAAUUGAAUGAUAUAGCUACCCUGUUCACCAAUGAUGAGAGAACUCGCUACUUUUAUAUCCUUAAAAUAUUUCCAUUCUCAUUAAAGGGUGAUGCUAAGAUAUGGUUUAGUUCUCUGGGUCCUGGUUCUGUGCGUAGUCCCCAGGAUAUGAUUUAUUACUUCUCUGCUAAAUAUUUCCCUGCUCAUAAGAAACAAGCUGCUUUAAGGGAUAUAUCUAAUUUUGUGCAAAUUGAAGAAGAGAGUCUCCCACAAGCUUGGGGGAGGCUUCUCCAAUUACUUAAUGCUUUGCCUGAUCAUCCUGUUAAGAAAAAUGAAAUACAUGGUGUCUUUUAUAAUGGACUAACCGAUGCAUCCAUAGAUUACCUGGAUAGUUGUGUUGGUUCUGUUUUCAGAGAAAGAACGCCGGAUGAAGCUGAAAUUCUAUUGAAUAAUAUGUUGACAAAUGAAAAUAAUUGGACACUUCCCGAGCCUAUUCCUAAACCAACUCCGAAGAAAAGAGGUGUUCUAUUCCUCAGUCCUGAAGAUAUGCAAGAGGCAAAGAAAUCUAUGAAAGAAAAGGGUAUUAAAGCUGAAGAUAUUAAGAAUUUACCUCCUAUUGAAGAAAUACACGGUCUUAAUUUACCGCAUGUUGAAGAAACUAUUGGUCUUGAUAACCCAACACAGGUAGUAAAGGUAAAUUCUCUGUAUAGAUAUGAUAAAGCUGAAAUCCCGUUUACUAAAUUCACUACCCCAUGCUUAGAUGAGUUUGAUAAAUUUAUGGCUAAGAAAGAAGAUUUUAAUGCUUAUUUUGGUAGGCAAUUGAAAUACAAUUCAAACAUGCUUGAACACUUGGGUGAUUAUAUGGCUAAUGUCAAAGGUGGAUUUAAACUUAUUAGUAAACAUGCUUCUAUGGUUACCACUCUAGUAGAACAAGUACUUAAAGCUCAAAAUGAUUUGCUCAAUGAAUUGAAUAGUAAGAAUAAUGAUAACGUUGUUAGAGUUAUGACUAGAGGUGGUAGAAUGACUCAGGAACCUUUGUAUCCUGAAGGCCAUCCUAAGAGAAUUGAGCAAGAUUCUCAGAGAAAUAAUAUAGAUGCACCUAGUCCUUCUAAAAGGAAGAAAAAGAAAAAUGAUAAGACUUUGCAUGCUUCUAGUGAACCUAUUACUGAAACACCUGAGAAUCCAAAUUAUAUUUCUAUUUCUAAUGCUGAAACACAAUCUGGUAAUGAACCUAAAACUAGUGAUAAUGUUAAUAAUAAUGUUCAUGAUGAUGCUGAACCUAGUAAUGAUAAUAAUAUAGAAAUUGAACAUGUUGUUGAUCUUGAUAACCCACAAUGAAAGAAUCAACGUUAUGAUAAGAAAGACUUUGUUGCUAGGAAACACGGUAAGGAAAGAGAGACCUGAGUUCAGAAACCCAUGCCUUUCUCUCCCAAACCAUCCAAGAAAAAGGAUGAUGAGGAUUUUGAGAGCUUUGCUGAAAUGAUUAGACCAAUCUUUUUGCGUAUGCGGUUAACUGAUAUGAUCAAAAUGAAUCCUUAUGCUAAGUACAUGAAAGAAAUUGUUACUAAUAAAAGAAAGAUACCUGAAGCUGAAAUUUCCACCAUGCUUGCUAAGUAUACUUUUAAGGGUGGAAUACCAAAGAAACUUGGAGAUCCAGGAGUUCCCACUAUACCAUGCUCCAUUAAAAGAAAUUAUGUUAAAACUGCUUUAUGUGAUCUUGGAGCCGGUGUUAGUGUUAUGCCUCUCUCUUUAUACCGUAGACUUGAUUUGAAUAAAUUGACACCUACUGAAACUAGUAGAGUGCCCGUGCAUUGCCACGGGCUCUUGAAAUAGUUUGCAAGAUUUACAUGUUAAAUUUCACAUGUACAAACAAUAUAACACAAACAUAAUUAAUGAAUAAUUGAAGUCCAUUUUUGCAAUGUAAAUUGAUAAGAAAAAGAAAAAUUAACAGCAUGUCCAUGUAACAAACUAAGCGAUGUUCCAACUAAACAUCUAUUACAAAACUAUUAAUAUCUAGAUGAUGCGCUUAAGAAAUUCUUUCACAAUGUUAGGAAAGUUGCCUUUAGCUUCAUUCCCACGAUGUUUUAGCAAGUAUAAUAAAAACCGCUUCCUCAACUCAUACCUAUCCUACACAAACAAUAUAUGUAAUUAGUAUGAAAAUUUCACACCAAAGGUGUAACGGAUGCGUUGCCACUGGCAUUUCGAACAAAAAAUACUGGUUGCAUAUAUAAUCAUAAGACAUGUCAAUUUUCCAACUUGGCAUAGCAAGUGAGUCUAAAAUUUCAAGACUUGCAAUAUCAUUGUCCUUGUUGAUUCAAAAUAGGCACUAUAAAUCUCCUAAAAAAUAGGCACUAUGAAUCUGCAAAAAAAACCAUCCUAAACUCUGUACUUAAUCCGAAGAAAUAGUUGCUUUGUUAUUCUGAUAAUCUUGCUUGUACAAUUAUGAUAGUUACCAUAAUCACCUAGGAGUUUUAAUUUUUGAAAGGAAAAAACAACAACAAUCAUUAGGCCCUUAAGAGAUCAUGACAUGAUUCUGAGUCUGACCAGCUACAAGAUAUAUCCUUCCUGAUAUUCAGAUCUAGUGGGAAAAACUACUACCCAACAAUAUACAUAUAAUAUAAUUGAAAAUGUUUACUGCAUUCGCUAAAUAAUCAUGGGAACAAAAAAUGACUUGGGGCUUCAAGAUCGAAAAGUAUAUACACAGGCUCGAUGCGACGAAGCUAGCAAAGAACAUUGAGAUGGUUUCAAUGUAGGAUUUGUCUCGAUUUUAAGGGACUUUCACGUGCCCAAAUCGCCCCCAUCUUUGUCAGCCACACCUAAUAGAAGCAACAUAAAUGGCUAUGCUGUUUUCGAGAACCUUCGCUAGAACAAUCACAGGAGAACACCUGGCAACAACGUAAUGGCACGAGAGCUUACUACUGCCCUCACACAGAAAUUGCAAAUCGCGGCAAUCAAAAUGGGAGACUUAAUGUGCCGACGUGAGAAUCUCUCUGGUAACAAAGGUGAAAAGGUGGGGAUGUAGUCAGUUCAUUGUUAGACUCAUUAACAAUAACAGUGAUGGGUAAAAAGAGAGGCCACCUAUAGUCCCCAUCUCUAUCUGAUUUACCUGAACAAAGGCUACAUAAGAAAAUAUACCAACCCAGAACCAAUGUGCACCAGCUUCGUACAGAGUUUCUAAAAAUGUAGAGUAGAAAGAAAAGCAGAUUGUCAUAUACCAAUCAACGUUUCAUUCUUAAUUUGCAUGGGAUCUCCAUUGCCUACGCUGCCCUUCAUCACUCCCAACGGCCUCGCUCCACCUCCACGACACCUCGGAUGACCGCCGCACAGUGUCGCACCACGGAUGAUGCUCCACCUUCCGCAUCCUACCUCUGGUCCCUGCUCCAUGCUCGCUCAUGCCCUAUGGCCUCCGCCGCGCUCGCGCUGCUGAGCCACCUCCACCCCUGUCUGAUCUCUUCCUCUCUCUCGAUCUAGCGAGAUCAUGGCUGGAAAGUCAAAGGCCUCUCUCCUUCUCGAUUUACUGAUCCCAUGGCCUGAAAGUCUGACAACGUAUUUGGAUUGAAGCCAGACUUUAACUGAUGGAUUCCCUAACUUUUCUUUGAGUUAUAAAACCCUAGGCCCGCAUGAUUAACUAAAAUGCCCCAUUACUUAACCCCAGGCCACGGGCCUUUUGUUGUAUAAAUCUCUGUGAAUUUUUUACCUCUUUCAGCGACAUCACCUCUACACCAAUGUCACAUAUGGAAUUUUUUUGAAUGUCGAGAUAAUCCAUCUUUAUCUCUCUUAUACACUACAAAAAUAAAUAAAUAUAUUAAGAAUAUAUAAACACACCUUUUGUAUUAUCAUGCGUAACAAAUAUAUUAAGAACCAUUAUUUGUAUGCAUCUCUUAUGAUUGUUAAAACUCGAUACUUUUUUGGUCCAUUCCAUUCUAAACAUGACUUGUUAGUGUAUCUGAUGUUUUCCCUCAGCAGAAAAAAGGGUAUCUGAUGUUUUCAACUAUAUUAAAAUAUGUGACAUUUUUCUCACACCAAACUACCGCUUUCCCUAUAUCACUAUAUAAAAGUAUGUGACAUUUCUCUCAUAGCAGUCAAACGUUUUCCCUAAAAAAGUGUCGCUCCUUUUCUUUUUAUUCUAAAAGAGCAAUUCACUCUCUCCUUCUCUCAUCGCAUGGCACAACGCUCACCCUCAUAUCGCAUUCCACAACAAUGCUCAAACUCAUACCUGAUCCCCCUAGCUUCUCUCCUCCCUGAUGUUGUUGGCAUCAAGGAACGCCACGAAAUUCCAGCGUCGUGUCUCCUUCUGUCCAUAGUGUUGCCCUCCCCCUCUACGCCAUCCUAGUGCAAUUUCCCAGUGCCAUGGAAUGUAUGCCGUCAUCCAACGGCGACCACCACAGCGUGUUUUGUUACCAUGAUAUAUGAAAUGGUAUAUAUCACGUGAUCCUUACGCCUCCUCUCAAUGCACACAUGAAGUACGGUCUACUAUUUGAUUCGUAAUAUUUUCAUGUUUAUAGCCGAUCACAAUUUCAUACACAUAUCCGCCAUGGGGUGUAAGAAGGCAAUUAGAAAGUUACCAAACGGACCAAAAGUGAAUUUAUUCGCGUAUUCAAAAAAUAAAAAAUCAGGAUUCGUGAUUGGAUUGAUGAUAUUGGAAUUUAAUUAUGAUGCCAUCUCUUUGUAGCAAGAAAAAUCAAGAUUUCACCUUGUUAUUCUAGUGACAUAUGUGUUUGGAAGUAAGCUACUUCUUCAGGUCAACAAAGAGUAAGCUGAUAAUAAAAAGAGUAUGAUGUCUCUCAUUUACAAGGUGAAUGUGGGCAUGUGCUUGUUCAUAUGAAGGUGAGUUUGCUUCCCAUUUAUGGUCUUAAGCUGGAGAGUAGAGGAACUGAGAUAGACAUGUCUGAUUGUGGACAUGUUUUCUAUUCCGGCAAUUUCAGUGGCAUAUUGCCAGGCUAUGACAGUGGGCUACCAUGGGCGCAGCUCACCCCAUUCUCAAAAUAAUUAUGCAAAUCUCAGAUGGUAAAGUCCAAGGAUGCCCAAAAAUCUAUAGUGGAAGUGAAAUAAUGCUAUUGUUUUACCUUUGAAAGGGUAGCCUGGCAAUAUGAUAAUCUAAACUUUAACAUUAGACACUUACACGCACCCUGGGUACUGGUCAUCAAUAAAUUUUCUCCGGUCAAUAGUCAGUAGUUCAACUAUCCAGAAAGCAUAAUUAUUAGAGGAUUAGAGCGAACAAACACGGAUUAGUUGAUCAUACUCGAUUAUUAGAGGAGUUGGGCAGGAAAUCAAGUGACCAAACCUGAACUGCAAGCAAACCCAUAAAGCAUGGCUUGUCAAAGAGGUGAGUGUCGGUGCCAAAUGCUUCAUGUCAUCCUGUACAAGUUCGAGAAAUAAGCAACUCUGAACUCCAUUGAAGACAUCCUUUUAAAAUAUUAAAACGGAUGACACAACACAUAUUCAGUGUUAUUUGUGAGGCUACCUUUUUCUAGGAAUGGAUCAGAGAAUUUCUAGCUUCCCAUAUACAUCAGUGCAAAUUAAUCCCAGGAAAAGCAAGUGAGGGUACCUUUUUGUGUGAAGGUAGUGAAGGCAUCAAGCUAAGUGCAACAAAUUUUUCCUCGACCACGCACACAUAUAUUCCUUUAUGUAUUGAUGAACUAACAUGCACCACAUAUCUCCUAUCUAAAUUUUACGGCUCGUCAUCUAUAUCUCUACUACCUAAAAUCACUCUAGCCAUCUGAAAUUAGAUGUCAAUAACCAGUUGACUUGCAUCAGAAGUCUACCGUGAUACAUACAAUUUAUAGUAAAUUUUACAUGAAGCAAACCCCAAUUACAUGGAAAAAGGAACAUUACUUCUAAGAGUACAUGAAUUAGUAACACACAAUUUUCUUUGUCUGGUAAAACAUGUAUUCAACCAGUUGGAACCGGGACCAAGACGAUUACAGACUACAGACUACAAACGUCACUUAUCACCCACCAAGUCUUGAAAACUUUGGAUAUAAGUAGUAUGAACUUUAAGGGGCCAAAUCCUCAGUGCACUGCUCGCUCACGUGCUAAUCUAAUAAAAAAGAAAUCAGAAAAAGAUGCAGGUUGGCCCCCUAUCCUGAAGCUACUACUGUGCUCUCUAGGAACAUAGUCUGAAAGACGAAAUAAACAGCAGCGACCUUGCAGUAGAGGGAGGUGUGUACGUACCAAAUGUACUCGGCGACGACCCGUUGGUCUCGACGGCGAGGGCCAGAUCCUUGAACAUGAAAGCUCCUCCAGGCGCCGAACACCCUUGCUCCCUUAGGGCCGAUUCUAGAUUCUCGUUGAAAUCUUAAUACAACAGCAGAAACUGCUACUUUUAGUCAGAAAUAAAUGCAAUUCAAAACAUGCUGUGUUAGGCUGUUAGCAAUUGAUCAACCAAUAUAGGUUGCCUUGAUGAUGUUGUUGUAGUUGAGAGCCACAACUCCCCACGGACCCAGGACAUCUGAUCGGACUCCUUGCCAUUUCGCCACCCACCACUUCCUAUAUCUAAUGAAAAUACAUUAAUUGAUACUGAACCAAAAUGGACAGGAAUAUUUUACCAACAUUCACGUGAAUGCUGGCAUGUUUGAUAACUAAAGAUGUUAUAGAGGGAUAUUAAAUACAACCAAAAAAUGUAGCCAUGUUAAUAGAAUUUAGUACAUAAGUUAGAGCAUGAAACAUGAGAUUUAGUUACACUAUAUAUGUGGUGAAGUUGUGGCCUUUUAUUCCGUUAAGAGGGAUGUCGUGUACUUCCUUCGUCCGGAAUUAGUUGGCGCUCAAACUGAUGUAUGUAACACUGAAACAACCACAUACUUCAAAUUUGAAAUACAUAACUGAAUCUUUGUGUAUACAUUAGACAUAUUCACUCAAGCAAAAAAACAAAUUUUGUUUCUAUGUAACACGACUUAUAGUACCAGCAUGUCUGGCUAUGUUAUUCCUCACGCCAAACUAUAUAUUUUUCUCUGUCGACAACCUGUCCAAAAAGACUAUGCCUAAUUGCCUCUGUGCGAUGCGGUAAACGUCUUGGCUUUCCUGGCCAGACGUGUUGCGUGUUAAAUAGCUGGGUUGCGAGCCCCGGAUACGCGUACAGAUUGUUGGGAUACAUCUCUUGGAGAGAAAGAAAAUACUAGAGAUAAGAAAGAUAAAGAUUACAUAGUAUGCUAGCUAACUAACUACUCCACGGGAUGAUCUUGUACCGACGCAACUCCUUGACAUACAUGCAAUAUCUCAUGUUUGACAGCCUCAAGCUAGUACCAUUCCACCACAAAUGUGCAGAGGCAUGCGUCAUCUAUGCAUGCCUGGUGCGGCCUUCCUCUUCGGUCUUAUCAUCCACCUGGCCGUCGGCGAAAUGUCCCAUCCUACCUGCUCAUUGUCAAGUAUAACCACGCUUCCAACGCGACAUUAUCGUGAGUAAAAAUGCAUGCAGAACAUUACAAAUAUCAAAAUAUCUAAAUGUAUAGCUUUCAAAAGUAGGAUUUAAUAUAGCUUUCAACAGGAUUAAUCUGUAAUAUAAUCAAGCAUGGGCUAGAUUAUCAUUGAGAAAGCAUACUACAGAAGCAAGCUGAAGCUACCCGCUCUUAGGUCUAUAGUGUAUAUUGUACACCAUACAAGCAUAAUUUUGAGAUCAACGCUACAACUUUGUCAUGCAUCAGGGUAUGUUUGUUUUGAAAAGAACACAAGCUGUGUGGGCUGUUCUACAACUGAUCUAAUGACGACGUGAACAUAAAAAUGGCACGUGAUAUCUACAAUUGAUCCAAUGAACUAAAAUUGUCCCAUAAGCCACUUUUUCCACUGUUUGGCUCAUCCAACAACAACCUUUAUAAAAUAAGAAAACACACAACACAUAAAUUGAAAGACCUAAUAGAAUAUGGAAGUGUUCCUAGCUCUAGCAACAUUGCCGACAUAUGCAUCUCAAGCAACAACAAACCAUGGCUCUUCUCCGUUUCUGAAGCAAGUUAAUUAAUAUGACAAAAUCAGAAAUAAAUCUAUAUUCUUUUCUAAUGGAUAUCAAUCUAUAAAUCUGAAUUAUAUUUGAGGCCACAAAGUGUAGCUUUUACCAUAACAAUACUGUACAUUUUGAGAAAACACUAAAUUAAUCAUGAGUAGAUCAUGAGAUUACUCGUCAAUUUUAGUGAGCCCAGCCACUCCUUACUUACACCUAUUCUUUUAAUCAACAUGCGCCUUUAAUUCCUCCAUGGCAGCAUACAACCACCAUCAUGCUACGUGGGGUUUAACACUCCCGCAGAAAUUAGAGCAAAACAAAAAAAGAACUAUGUUGCGCAUACUUUCACCUCAUCUACUCACUAUAAUAUCUAGAAUUUGGAGCUGAGAAUAUACCUGCAGACAAAUAAUAUAACAUUGAUGGGGAUCCCUAACAUCUCAACCAAUCUGUUAUCCUCCAGAUUGAGACUACUUGUAAAGUAACUUUCUGCACUAAAUCCCUUGCCUGUAACGAUAAAUGGUUGUAUUUGCAUUGUACAUUUUUCUAAGGCGGGUCAUGAAUCUGGAAGAUCUUUCAACAAAACAUUACACCUAAACAUUUCAUCUACAAGCCUGCUCGUCCCAACUUUACACCUAAACAUUUCUGUAUGUGGGUGUAUCACAUCCAUGCCCCGUCAUAUCUUGAAUGGGAAGUCAUAUGGCUAGAGAUCAAAGGGAUCAACACCUAAGGUUUUUAUUUCUUAAAUAAUCGGCCAAACCGCCAGCCAAUAUUGAUUUUUAGAAAGUAAAAGUUAAGCACAAUAUGAAUAUACAAAUGGAAAUUCUACACUUUAAAUGCGUACAUCAUCUUCUCAAGUGAAAUAAUAAAGACUCCCCUGUUCGUUAGAAAAAAGAAACUCCCAUGUCAAGGUAAUCUUCCUAGUACAACCACUUGUUGUGCUUCCUUUAAAGAAACUAAUAAGGACAAACCGUCAUUAGGAACUUCGGAUAUCAACACAAAUCCUUAAUUUGGAUCGCUGUAAAAUAUAACCAAGGAUAUAAGCACCAAAGCUACAGUAGCAGUUAGCAUAUGCUGAAUCAUAAAGGAAGAGCCGAAGAGGAGAGCAUAGAAAAAAUAGCAUGUGGUCUUCAUAUGCUGAAAAUGAGAAUCAAUAACCAAGUAGAUUCAGUAUGGGGAUAGAUUCAGGCCUGAAAAGGUUGCAGUCUCUCUCCUUUGCUUUACUGCAUAGGUCAUUUUUUAUUAGAGGUUCCAGCUCUACACAGUACCUAUGCAAGUGCCUAAUCAGGAUACAUGUCACUGUUGAAACGCAAAACAAAAAACCACAACAACCAUUGAACACAAACAAGAGAAGAGGAGAAAUCUUACACUUCGAUGAAAUAGAUAAUACACAUGCAUUAGUUACCUCACACUUGCUGAGCUUGAAGAAUUUGAUGAAGAUGAUGUCAGUGUACAUUGUACUUAUGGGAUUCCUUUGCAUCCAUGGACGCGCCAAAAAAGCUGCACAUAUUAAGGAAAAAAAGUGUUUGAUGACAACAAGUUAACAGCCACACAAAUCCAAGGCGGCGUAUAAUCUUCGUGUUUGGGCUUAUUGUGCUAAGGAUGCCGAAAAGCUGCAGGUGCAACAACGGGUGUAAAUUCAACACUGCCGCAUGUGUUUCUCCAUUGUCCACAAAUAUUAAAUUUCAAUAAUUUGCAUAAGCCCUGAACCUUCUGCAUUCCUUAAUUCAAUGUUCAGGUGAACAAAAUGAAUAUU